UCGAUUGGGCAAGUCUCUGGCUUAGGUGGAGUUGGUGUUGGCGGUGUUACGACCGGUGGGCUUGGUGUUGGUGGCGUAACAACAGGUGGCGGUGGGCACGGUGAUGGCGGUGGCGGUGGGCACGGUGAUGGCGGCGUUACGACGGGUGAAGGCGUAUGAGUGGGUGGUUUAGGGGUGGACGGAGGUGGUUUAACAGUGGGCGGUUUCGUGGGUGGUUUCGGGGUAGACGGAGGAGGUUUAACGGUGGGCGGUUUCGUGGGUGGUUUCGGGGUGGACGGAGGUGGUUUAACGGUGGGCGGUUUCGUGGGUGGUUUCGGGGUGGGAUGAGGUUUGGUAGGGGGUUUCGGAUGUGGGUGUGGUUUGACAGUGGGCGGUUUGGUAGGGGGUUUAGGGUGUGGGUGUGGUUUGACGGUGGGUGGUUUGGGAGGUUUUACUGCCGGUGGUUUAGGCGGUUUGCUAGGAUGUUUAGGCGGUUUGUGGGGGUGAGGUGAUGGUUUAGGAGGGCUACAGUCGCAAGCGAAGGAGACGGCAAGAAAGCCAAGGAAGAGGAGGAUAAGAAAAGAGAGGUUUUGUGUACGAGACCCCAUUUUUCUAGAGUGAGGGUGUGGUUUACCCAAAGGAGUGAGUAAGAAAGAUAUAUGAGUGUAUCAUUUUAUAGAAAGAUAUUAAAAUAUAUUUGCUAUAUAUAAUUUUCAAAUAUGCAUUCUGUGACCAGAUUAUUGAAACUGAGUUUCGGUUUUUGUUUUUGUUUUGAAAUCUAGAUUUUGUAGCAUGUGUUAAGUCACUUAGUUACAACUUACAAGUUGUCAUUUCCUGAGUUGUAAAAAAAUAGGACAACAUUCGUUAUAUAUAUAUACUUCCAUAGAACUAUUGUGGAUCAACCUAUGUGAAGAGGAUACAAAAAAAUAAGCUUUAAAGAUUUUAGUAAGUUCAAAAAAAAUUUGUAUUUUUCUUAUUGAUCAAAACACUGCCAAAAGCAAAUACACUGCAUUUGGUGCGAAGAACUCAAACACUACUCCUCGCAAGGUUUCUGCCAAAUCAUUUGCUCUAUCCUUCUCCCUCUGAGUUUUUUUAAUCUAGGGAGAUAUAUAUACCUUGUUAUUCAUAGUCUACUUAGAACAAGGAAGCAGAUAUAUAUUAGAUUUCUAAUAUACAACCUCUGAGUAACUCGGAUUCGGCCACCUCCUCGAAUCAUAGGAUGACUCUAUCCACUCUUCAAUGUACAUAAUAUUAUUUGAUCAUCCAUGUUUUUUUGCACUCGGUAAUUUCUAGCUAUAUAUUAAAACUGGAAAUUGUUUUGAGUAAAUUCGAUUAUGAAUAGUUGGUAAACGUACGUUUAAAGGAUGGUUUUAUGCUUCUGCCAUGGUUGUUAAAAUAAAGGAAUAAAAGAGUGCAAUUUUAACCAAAAAAAAGAGAGAGAGAGAGAGAGAGAAUGCAAUUUCAGUUCUACGAGACCUUCAUCUGAAUCCAAAAUAUAUUAUGAUAAAAAAGAAGCAAAUAUUACAACCGUGCGACAAACGCUCUCAACUCUUCUUGCUACAAACGCCGUGCGCCUUCGUGUUGCUCCGGUCCGGCAAGCGUGCUGGUGCCGGAGGCCCUUUCUCCUCUCCUCUUUGCUCUUCUCCCUUGUCUCUUCCAUGGUUUCCUUGCUCAGAUCUGUGAGUAGGUCAAAGGUGGUCAUCGGCGUUCCGGUCUAGAUCUUGGUGCACGGAGGCCAGAUCCGGUGGUUAUCUUACUUGCUUGGAGUGAUGGCGAAGUCUGGGAGCGGUGAGGUGGUGAAGAGUCGGCUUUUAGGGUUUGUGACGGCGGAGCGAGUUUUUCAGAUCUACGGACUGCCGCUCUUCUCCUCCGUCUGAGUUUGCGGCAAUGUGUCGGAGGUCUCUCUUCUCCUGUUGUUCAGAGUUGCGGUCGUGGUGGCUGUCUCUGUUUCUCCAGCAAGUUGGGUCGGUUUUUGCGGUUUGUUCUUAGCCUCUGUCCUUGGCGUCUUGGAGAGGUUCUUCUUCCGCUUCCGGCCAGGAAAGUCACUAUUGGUCUCAUCCUUCCAAUGGUGGCGCCACCAGAGAGUGGUAGGUUUCGCGUGUCUCCUCCUUCUCAUCCGGUUUCAAGCGUGUGGACUGUGGGCUGGUGCUGUCUCUUGACGUCGUCUAUGGCGUUGUUGACAAUCCCUUUCAUGUCGACGCUUUCCUUGCUCUGCUCUGGCACUGUUCUUGCUCGUGCUUGGAUCCCAAUCUCUCUCUGAUUUGUUCUCUCGGAGGCCUUCGCGUGAUUCAGGUCGCUUGAGAAGCUGUGGAACCGAGUCCCGGUUCUCGGUCUCGGCGUUUGGCAAGUUCUCUUCGUCGCUUGCGGUGGUCAGCAGGUUCCGGAGAAACUUGAAGGCUUCAGACGUUACGCCAUGAUUUCGCAGUGCUGCGGUUUGUUUCUUGACUAGCUGCAGUAGUUAUGGCUUUUUCUACAGCUUAUAGGUUUUGAUUUGAGCUCUUUGCAAGGACGCCUAUAUCUCGGCCCGUCUUGUCCUUGUUUGUGUCGAGUCGGGGUGCUCGUACACGUUAAGAUCGGUGCUUUGAAUGUUCAAGGAUUUCGCUGGGUUCGUGCUGAGGAUAAGUGUCGUCAGUCUCUGCUGGGUUCGUGCUGAGAGUAUGCUUCGGUCUUGCUCAAAGCGUCGUCGGGAGACUAGGGUUCGUACUUUGAAGCGUCGUCGGAAAACUAGGGUUCGUGUUCUAUGGCGUCGUCGGAUUUCCUAGCCGUAUUCACGGUUGUAGAUCAUGUUUUUAGCAUUAAGACUUGUAGUUUUAAUCCUAAUGGUUGUCCUUUAAGAUUUUUUCACUUUUUUUGGAUCUUAAAGAACUUGUAUCCUUUCAUUUUCAUUAAUGAACAUUUACAGUUUAGCAAAAAAAAAAAAAUAUAUUAUGAUAAAAAAAGAAAAUUCAUGCCACCAAAAAUAUUUUUCUUAAAGAAAAUAUGAUCAUUGGCCAAAAAUCAUGAAAUUUGUGGUUGUAAAAGUAAGAGACAUUUCAUAACAUUCACUUAAAAUCCUUUGUUUUAAUUACUUGGACAUGAUCAUAAUGGUUUAGCCAAUAUAAAACGUACAAACCAUGAAAAUGUUUGACGAAACGACCACCGGAGAUAGAAUUGUCAACAUGCAUUGAAAAACAUAAACUGUCGCAAAGGUAGGCACCAUUUUUUUUUUUAAUUGAAAAGGUAGGCACCAUUAUCGUGUACGUCUUAUAUGUUUUCUAUUUCUUUCUUUUGUUCUCGUUUCCAAAAGGCUAUUGUCACCAAGCUUUUCCAUUACAUAUUUUCCGUAAAAUGAUCGAUAUUUUCAUAUAUGGAUAAAACUUAGCUUUUCCAAAUAUGCCUUCUCUUUUUAUAAUCCUGUCUAAUAGUGUCUUGCACCCUGGUUUGUUAAAUCGGAGAUCCAGUUGGUCAAAUAUCUAAAAUCAACGCGUAAAUCAGGGAAAUGUCCCGAUAUUGCCAAGCUCUAUUACUCUAGCAUAAUAGCAUUUUAGAGAAUGCCCAGUCUAUCAGCGUUUAACAGUCACUAGAUUAAAACAUUUGUUAUGUUAUUGUAUAGAUUUUCUUUUCUAGAAAAACUUUGGGCAGACAUAUUUUGUAGUUACUAGUGAAAACAAUGGGAGUAACCAGAGGAUUUUGUAGUGUAAUGGCCAGUGGGCAGACAAUUUAUGAAGGGAUUUUGUCAGCAUUACUUGACUUAAGACACACCUCCCAUCUUGUAUAGUGACAAGAUAUAAUCAAAGACAUCCUUCUCACUCUUCUUUUUUUCUAAUUCCUUCCGUUUUAGGUCCACUUUUCGAGAAGCAUAUUAGGCAAGUUCAGAACUUCUCUUGGGUUUUGGUUUAUGUUUUUACCUAUUCAAAAAGGAGGAAAAGAAUCAGUUUUGGUUUAGCAUACCAAACCUACGAUAUAAAGUAUUCAAAUGUUCAGUAUUCAUAUAAAGUAUAUAAGUCGAUAUAUCUUGAGCCAAGGUCCGAGUUAUUGGGAUUUCGUAGGUAGAUGACAGGUUGAAAAGUAUUCGUUUAUAUUGAUGAAAUCACUCCCCCACCUCCAUAACGUGUUUCGGACGUUCAGUCAUUUACAUUUUCAUAUAGCCAAUCUAGGCUUUGGAUCAUAUAUUCCAUAUGAUUUGUUCAAAGCUUUUUCUUUAGUUUGUUUUUGUCUCCCGCGUUAGAAAGAUACGAGCUUGUGCGCCUUUUAUCAGAUCUUUAAGUGAUUGAAUAACGUCCGUGAUUGAUGAUUCUCUUUAGAAUUUUUCCAUUAAAUAUUAAUUAUACUAGUGAUGAUUCAGAAUAUGAUUUCAUUGUGGGUCAACAUAUACUAAUUAAAGCUAAAUCUAGUAUCUGAUUGGUAAAAUUGAAACGAUAAUUUGGUUAACACACACGUUCACUGCGUUUAAAAUAACAAAACUGUAAAUUUACUUUCUUCAGAACACGAUUUAUAGUUAUUUUUCUGCCAGAUUCUUUCACAUGGUGUAGAAAGCUUAUUUAUUAGUAUUGUUGGGGAUUUUUGUUAUUCAAAUUUCUAUUUGUCCUGAAUAAAUUUAUUAUUGAACAGUUUUCACCAUACUAUGAUACUAUUCGCAGAUUUACUAAGAAAAGGUAGAGUGAAAGUUGUACAAAAUCCCAUUGUGUUUGAGGAGUAAAGGUUUUCUCUACCACUUUUUCUCUGAACAACUUUUCUUUGCCAUAUUCACUUUCGCAUCUCUAUUGACAAUAUCGCAAAAACAUUGUGGUUUAUUUUCUAAUUCAGUUUAUCAAGAACUGUUUAAAAUAAUUUUAGUUAUAAUUUAUAAACCUACUUUGUAUUAUAAAUUAUGAAAUUAAAAACUUUUAGAUUUAUUCACGGUGAAUAAAACAAAAUAAAGUUUAGACGCCACUACAAGGUGGCGGGUAGGAUUUGGCGGGUAGCAAAAACAUUGUAAACCCGUGAAGUCUGUCACUUUUAGGAUUUAUUUUUCUUUAAAAACCAAAAAUGGGAAAUGGAUAAUGUGACGUGCUGAAUGCAUCUCAUGCAUGCAUGUGACUCCACCAUAAUUUAAGAAAAAACAAACUUAAAAACAUGUGGUCUGACUCUCUGAGUACUCAUGUCCUAGUCGUGAUAAUUUGUUUUGCAGAAGCUUUUUUUUUUUGCAAUUAAAAAGUGGAGAAGAAGAAAUCGAACCCGGUUUUGCGGAAGCUUGAUCAUUUCUUUACUGAUAGAGUGAUAAUAGUUAGAGAAAAUUGGCCCAUGUACCCUUAAAUGAUCCCUUAAUUUGAGCUUUGCGCCUGAAAUGACAGUAUUAGUUUUAUUCUGAAAUUAACCUUACUUCGUCGUUGACGGCUUUAGAUGAAGUUGUGUCAGUAUACUCUGUGCAUGUCGAAAAUAUGUAUCAGAUGGAAAAUUCUUUUCUAGUUCUCUUUCUUCUCGUAAUCUCUUUCUUUUCAAAGGUCUUUUUUUUUCUUUUCACUUCUCUAUAUUAAAUGUGUGUUUUGCAAUGUCUUUCUUCUCUCCUUCUCUAUUUUCUUCGUAGAUUCUUUAUUUUUGUUUCGUUUUUUAAAUCUAUAGAUCUUUAUAAUUUAAAAAAAAAAAAGAAAGAAAUUCAUCUCAAAUUUGUUUUGCACUACUUUUUCAUAUUAUGUUCUUCAUCUAGACUUUUUUGAUUCCUUUUAUUUUAUUUUCUAUGUUUGAUUUUUCUCAUUAAUAUAUUUUAUCUCUAAUGAACUCUCUUUCCAGGGUUGGGAAGUUGCUGAAGAUCGAAGAUGAAUCCAGAGUGAUGGCUAGCAAUUUCGUGAUGUUUGUUGAUAUAUAUAACAUUUAUGUUAGCAACCAUUUUACUUGUUACCCAAUAUUAUUUAUGUUUAUUAGUGUAUAGAAAACAAAAGAUACAUAGUUGGUUAAAUAAUAUAUGGCUUGUUAGGCGUUAAAUUUUUCUUGGUAUUUUAUUUAUUAGCUAAUACAUUAUUUGUUAGUUGAUACAUAUUUUCGUAGUAGAUACAAUUUUUUAUUAUAUAUGUUAUUGAUUCUUUUAACACACUAGACAUAAUCAUGAUCAUCUAACAAUGGUUUGUUAGCUGAUAUAUGAUUUUUUUUUCUGAUUAAAUAAAUUUAUUGAUCAAAGUGGAAAAGGGAUUUACAUAAGAUGAUCUAUUGUUCUACUCUAUAAAGAAUAAAACAAUGAUAUGUUCUAAUAUGUGUAGACAGUAAACCAUCUCAAAAGUAGUCCGCUCAGCAUAUGGUUUCCCCUAUACUUCAAAGAUGAGAUGUGCUUCUUGACAAUAUUCCCAAUAGCCUUAGUAGUUGUAUCCACAGGUGCACACACCUCCGUGCCGUCUUGAGUUCCUCUCCUUCCACAGCAUAUAAAUGGCUGUUUGGAAAACUAAGCGGAGGAAUAUAGUAUCGAUUCUGCUCCUGUUCUGGUGUAACAUGGAGGUGACUAUAUUUUCCCAGUCCGGUGUUAUCGCUGGACAAAGUAAUUUCUUUGCUACAUUCAUCCAAACUGUAAAGGUAUAAGGGCAAGCGAAAAACAAAUGAUCUCUGCUUUCAUUCUUGUGGGUCUCCACAGUAGACACAUCAUUGCUCCAUUCCCCAUUCUUUUAUUCUAGUGUCUGUUGAUAAUCUGUCUUUGAAAGCUAACCAUACCAUGAAGGAUUGUCGGGGUAUGGCCUGAGGGAACCACACAAUACAAUGCCAAGGAAGCUUUGUCUUUUUAACUCUCAGGUAGUUCCAAGUCUUGGUAGCUGAGAAAUAUGGUUUCAAAUCAUCCUGGUCAUGUCUCCAUAGAGCUAUAUCUGGCUCUGCAGUAGCUACCGGCUGUGAAAUAUCUGCAAGCUGAUAUAUGAUUUUCGGAAUAGACAGUUUUGUUUUUGGUUUGUUAGAUGAUCAUGAUUAUGUCUAGUGUGAUAAAUAGUUUGUUAUAGGAUACAUGAUUUAUUACCCGUCACAUAUUUUGUUAGCUGAUGAAUAGUUGAUACAUGGUUUGUUUCAUGGUUCACAAUUUAUUAAAUGAUACAUACAUACAUACCAACUAACACAUAUGUUAUCAAGAACGGGUUCUUCUUAAAUUUUUGAUACACCACCGCAUGAAUUAUAGUUGAAGAGAAAGACCACAACACAGAAUUUCUAUUAAUAUGAUUGGAAAUUGAAAACACAUUAUGAUUUGAAACAUAAAGGGAUAAGAACAAUGUUCACUGGAAGGGAUAAAAUCCCCGCAACCUGUCAUAUCGAUCGGAGUGUUUAAUGUUAAAUCCUCCAGUGAGUUUAAUGUCAUAUAGGAGUGUUUAAUGUUAAAUUUUUAAUACAAACAUAAGAACAUCAUUAGUGGUAUGAUACCCAUUUAGAGUAUCUAAUUUAUAUAAUAUUAAUAUUAAAACUAUUAAAUUUUAAACAAAAUAAAAGUCCAACCAAUGAGACAACAACAAAUAUUACCGGAGUCUAUAUCAAAAUGUGUGGAACGUUUCUCUAUAAAGGUACGUUAUCUUUCUAUUGUUUUGAUAUUUUUAUUUCAAGAAACCUAUUCAGAAACUAGCACGCAAGUUUCCUAAGAACAGUUUUUAAAAAAUGAUGUACUGAAUAUCUAUUUAUUAAAAUAAAAAUAAAAGGGAAUAGAGAACUAGAAAAGUUCUUAAUUGAGAAAUUUUGAGAACUUCAUAACAACCUUACUGUCCAAAUGUCAAAUAUUGGUUAGAUUUUUAAUAUCAAAAUUAAAUUUAACUAAGAAAUUAAGUUCUAUUUAAAAUUUAUACUUUUUUGCCGUAAAAAAAUCCAUGUGGAUUCUUACCAAUGGUGUUGCUCUAAUAAGACUAUCCACAUCAAAAAUAUUUCAAUUAGAAUAUGUCACCAAAAUAAUAAUUUUUUUUUUAAGAGAUUCAUGCUGAAAGUCGUCAUUUGAGAAUUCUGGACAUGAGUCUAUCAAAACAUUUGUAAAAAGAAAUCAUUAAAAUAUUGUAUUUUGUUGAGAGAUUCAAAUAAUAAUGUCCUAGCGAAACAUACUUAUGCAUGAGUAUGAUUUCUCAACUUUGUUUGCUCUUUGGUUAGCUAAAACUACAAAGAAAUAUUUGAUAAAAUAUCAGUAUCUGUGAUUGGAUAAGAACGGAUAUCUAAAUUAAUAUUAGUAUUUAUGAUUUGUUAGGAAAGGAUUUUGGAUUAAAUAUUACUAUUGAUUUCGACACGUCUACUAAUAAUUCCCAUCGUUUAGCACCUCAAGACGUAGAAGAAGACAGUAACAUACAGUGAAUAUUAUAGUGGCACAAAUAUAUCAGAACUCAACUGUAUUGUGAGACGAUUGAAGGUACAAAGAAAAAUUUAUUAUGUCUUACUUUUUCCACUUAUCUUCUACUACAUUUUGCCUGGAUUUGAAACUUUAUUAUGCUAUCUUUAGCUAAUUCAUGCAAUAAUAGAUUUCCUUGGGAUGAACUGGCACAAUUUUUUUUUGAACACAAAGAUGAACUGGCACACAUAUUAAACAUUUGUCGGUUAUUUCUUAAGUACAUUCCAGAACAAAAACAUACUAAUGUAUGUUGAUAUGUAUUACCAUUUACAAGAAUAACAUUGACAAAAGAAUAAAGAGUAGAUGUUCAUACAUUUUCAGUGUCACAUGAAAACACAGUUAAGUAAGUUUGGGUUGGCUCAAAAUAGUCAAAGCAAGUUAAGCGAUCAUUUAGGCCGAAUACUAUAGAUUAUAGACACAUUCUCUCUCUCUCUUUUUUUUUUGCUAAAAUUCUCUCUCUUUUUUCUAAUGGUUUUUCCUUUAAAGUAAUGCAAUCGGGAAUUUUUUUGCUUGUUACUGUUCAAAACCAAUAUAAGAGCUAUAAACCCAAUCUUUAUGAAAAAAAUAUCAUGAAACUAAUAAAGAAAAUUGACCUUCCAAUAUAUAAUUACGGAUUUCAAUUUCAUGCAUGCAUGCAUGUCCCUGCACCAUUCGUUUCUUUGUUUUCUCUCACGACCCAAUAAUUUGAAAACCAAGUAAAUUAAAAGAAAUAUUGGUGGUCGUCUGAGUACUUGAGUAUUAUUCGCAAGGACGUGUUGUUGGUCCAUAACCAGCAGAAAAGACCAAGAAAACGAUAUUGGUUUUGAUGUUGAAUACACGUCGGUCCGUCGACAGCAGAAAAGAGAAUAAAAUCCAGACGCCAUAUGAAUUUGUUUAUGUCGGUAACUCAAUAGCAGAAAAUAGGAUUAUAUAUAUUGAAUCAAAAAGCGAUCAUCGUUUUGAUAUUUUAAUUUACGCAUGUACCUGCACUAAAAAUAUUGAAAUAAAAAUAAUAAUUUUAAUUUUGAUUUUUUGAGGAAAAUAUCACAAAUAAAAUACUUUCAUACGUAUCUUAACAUUAAAAUAGUGAUAUAUUUUAAUAUAUAUAUAUAUAUAUAUAUAUAUAUUUAUCUACUUUCUUAAAAAACAUUCAUUAGAAAUACUCUUAAAACAUAUUAAAAAAAAACAUUUUUAUUGAUUGCAGAUUUUUUUGUAAAACAGAGGUUGACUAACGAAAUGGUUGGUUUUCAAGUUUAUCAAUUGAAAUGAAAUCACAGUUAACUCUGGAUUUAGCUAACUUUUAAAUUAACAAAUCAUUUGAAGGAACUCCACAUGUCCUAUUUCUUAAAUAUGCUUUUAGCAUAAUCUCUAAAUUUCCUGGAGCUUCAAGAGUCUCAGAAUACCGCCCUAUUUCCUGUUUAAAUACUAUAUAUAAGGUCAUCUCGAAGUUCCUAGUUUCAAGACUCAAACCUAUUCUACCGCACUUGAUUCUCCCGUGUCAAACUGCAAUCGUUAAGGAUAACCUGCUUAUUGAAAACACAGUACUUACUAGUGAAUUGAUCCAUGGAUACCAUAAGAACAAGGGAUAAAAAAAAAUUACCAUAAAGGUGGACAUAGCCAAAACUUUCGACACAUUAUCAUGGGAAUUUCUCCCUUGAAGGUCUCCACAUCCCUCCUAAGUUCAUUUUAUGGCUCAAGGCCUGCAUAUGCACGACAAGCUUUAUGAUUGGCUACAAUGGUACAGUCUCAGGUUAUUUUAAACGCAAAAGAGGCUUAAGGCAAGGUGACCCACUGUCCUCUUACUUAUUUGUGAUCGUUAUGAACUGUCUAUCCUUUAUGCUAAACAAUGCAGCGGCUCAUGGGAACAUUUAGCAUUCCAAAUAUUGUAAGAUGAAACUAACACAUCUAUCAUUUGCCGACGACAUACUGAUUUUCAUAGAUGGGUCUUUGGAGUCGGUCCAAAAUGUGCUUCAAUUCCUCCAUGAAUUUGAGCAACGGUCUGGCUUGGCGGUCAGCUACCAAAAAACAAGUUUUUAUGCAUCAGGUAUGUCUCCUCAAGAAAUUGAAACGAUACAGGCAUCUACUGGAAUGUCUUGUGGGACUCUACAUGUCUGCUAUCUUGGAGUAUCGCUCAAUUCAAAAAAAUUGAACCUUGCCAAUUGUGAGCCUCUCAUUCACCAGAUCAAGUCAAGACUCUUCUCUUGGUCAGUGAAGUCACUCUUCUCAGGCAGGCUCCUCCUCAUUAAAACUGUGUGAUUGCGGGAAUCACAACAUUUUGGUGUUCAGCCUUCAUCCUGCCAAAAACGUGUGUUUGGCGUAUCAAAUCUAUGUGCAGUGUGAUCUUAUGGAAGGGAGAAAUUGAUGGCCACAACUCUGCAAGAAUGGCUUGGGAGACAGCAUAACUUACAAAAGAUCAGGGAGGCUUGGGGAUUAGGGACCUCCAAACUUAGAAUAAGGCUUGCUGCUUAAAGCUAAUAUGGAUGUUGUUCUUUUAUGAUGGGUUUGUGUGGGUCGCUUGGUUCAAGAAGGUCAUUAUAAAAGGGUCCAUUCACAACUACUGGACAACUAAACCAAGCAGCUCCUACUCAUGGCUAGCCAACAAACUCCUCAAUCUAAAAAAUGAAAUCUUCCCACUCAUCAAAUUGCGGCUGGAGAAUGGUGUCUCUGCUAAAUUUUGGUUUGAUAACUGGACUCCCUUUGGAAGCCUUUCGACUUUCCUCAGUAACUCCUCAUCAAAAUCAGGUAUUCAUGAAAAAGCUUAUGUAGCCUCACAAUGUAGGAAUGGAAUUUGGCUGCUUCCACCUGCAAGAACAGAAGAACAAGUUCAAUUACAGACAUACUUCACUACCGUCACUCUCACUCAGGCUCAGUACUGCUAUGAAUGGGAGCUGGAAGGUAAACCUACUCAGACUUAUAGCAUCCGAGAUGUUUACACUUACUUGAGAGGAGAAAUCAAUUAUGUGAUUUGGUCUUCCUAUGAGAUCCGAAGACACAACUUCCUUGUUUGGUUGGUAAUCCAAAACCGAGGUCCAACUAAAGAGAAAAUACUCGGAUGGAGCUUUCAGGUUUCGCUUUCAGUUUUGAUCUUUGGUCCUUGGCUGCUUCACGGUGUAGGAUCACCCCCACUAGAGAUUGGAACGAUACAGUCUCUUAGAUGAUUGGACUACCAAGAAGCAAAUCGAGGCGCCAUCAAACUCUCCUAACUCUCCUAGCUUGGAAAAUAACAAUAUACUGGACAUGGAAUGAAAGGAAUUCUCGUCUUCACUCCAAUGUAUAUUGAUCGGUCAAUACUAUCUUUGCAAUAUUUGAUCGUCAACUGAGAAACAAGAUUAUGAGCUUCAGAGCAUCUAAUCCGGUUAUCUCCGCAGCAAUGUUGCAAGCAUGGUUCUCAGUGGGUUAGACUUCUCUCCGUCGACGGAUUCAUCAUCUCCCACCUCUCAACCAUCGUGCUUUCCGUCACAAGAAAACUGAUUGUCUUUUCUAAUCUGGAUACGUGGACUCUUUUUCUGUGUAUUUAAUGGGUCAUGGGUCAUUAAGAUUCAUUUAUUAUGAGUUUUAAGUCUGGGUUUGAGCUUCGGUAACUAAAGCCAAAAGCUUGUAAACAAUUUUUUUUUUCAUUUAAUGAAAGCCUAAGUUACAGAAAAAGAAACACAUUCAUGUAUUUCAAUACAUAACAAAUGUACUGUAUUCCUUGACAAAAGAACAAAAGUAGAGUAAUUAUUUGCUAUUAUUACAUAUUAAGCAAAAAAUGUUUUGAGGAUUUGGAUUUGGGUUUGUCACAUGGAUACCCAGUUAACAGCCUGGGCCGAUUCAAAGAACUCAAAGUAAACCUGAGCCAAUUAUAUUAGACUUCACGGCCCAUUAUAUAAGCUUCUUCUGGUCUAGUGGAUGGUCUCAAUUCUCAAAAUAUUCGAGGAAAUGAGAAAAUGUAUAGCAUCCAGCCUUGGAAUGAGCAAUAUUGCUGUAUAACAGAGAUGUCAGGGAGAGUAGACCGCGUUUGUGGAGCCUACGAGUUUCUUAAAAGACUUGGUGAAGAAGGCAGGUGAAUGUAACCGAAUUUACACCUGACAAUUUCAUGUAAACUCCGUUACAAAAAAAAAAAUUCAUGUAAACUUUUGUAAGAUAUAAUCAUAUAAACGUAAUAAUGUUACUUGCUUUGAAUUAAUAAAAAGUUAUUACAAACAACAAGCCAUUGGCCAAACUAUAACCAUAACCUUAUGAAUAUCAAAAAUAAAUUUUAUAAUGUAUUUAUUAGUGAGGUUGAACUUUAUAGUAGGGUUUUUAUUUUGGUUUGUAUAUGAUGAUCAUAUUAGAUAUUACAACUACCAUAUGCAUGGAGAUUGAAAAUUGCAUGAACAACCUAAAAAAAAAACUUACUAGUCAUUAAACUCAACCACUAGUCGUCCACCACUAAAUAAACUCAUAAGAAAUAUAUUUAUACAUACAGUUGUAUCUUUUUUAUAAAACUACAGAAAUGCUAGGUGAAAGAAUACUAGAAAGUUUGUUCCAGCCUAUCAUUUCAUGUGUGUUUACAACCCUAUAUAAUGUGAAGAGACAUAAUUUAAUCAUAAUUAACAUUAAAAGUUAUAAAACAUGAUUGAGAGUCUUGAGCUGUUUUGUUAAUUGUAAUUGGAAUUAAGCUCAAUAUGCAUAUUGAGGUUAAUGGGACUCGUAAUGUUUCUAGAUUCAUCCCCUCUUCCUAACCCAUUUCUCACUCGGUUUUAUCAUUUCUUCAAUGUUUGGCUUUUGUAUUAUAUUGGCCAGACUCGAUAUCAACGUCGAUCAACGUCAAAGACCCGUCUCAGGCAAAAUCGCAAUUAUAGUUAUAACUGUAAUUAACAUCAGAGCUAAGGAAUUGAAAAGAAUAUAGAUAAACGAUAAUGAUCUUUAAUCUAGGCAUGUUAGUAGCCUAUACUACCUUCACCAAAAAAUCUUCCUAGGCAAGUUUGAUUUCAACAUCAUCCCCAUAUAAUUGUCAAAAGACUAUUCUGGUCUUUCAGAAAAUUCUAUUAAAUAUAUUUCACUAAUCCAAAUUUUAGCAAUAAAAAAUGAUUAAAGAAAAAAAAAAAGCCAAAUUAAUUUUGUGGAAGGAAAAAGGCCAAUCACAGUUUAUUUUCGACUACAACUCAUAUAUGUUAGAUAAUAUCAAACCAUUAUGCCAUAAAAAGAAGAAAAAUAUAAAGUUAUAACUUAUAUUUAUAAUUUAAAUUGAAAUUGUGGAUUGAAAAUUUAGAAUUCUUUUUUUUUAAAGGAAAAUUUAGAAUUCUCACAACCUUUAUUGAGCUAAUUUGGUAAAAUUGCAUUCACAUUAAGUUCGUGUUUGAGAAAAUGUCUACAAUCCAAUAAGAAUACAAAAGUUAGUGUAAGCUAAUUUGGUAAGCUAAUUAUGGAUUGAAAAUAUAGAAUUCUCACAACCUUUAUUGAGCUAAUUUAGUAAAAUUGCAUUCACAUUAAGUUCGAGUUUGAGAAAAUGUCUACAAUCCAAUAAGAAUACAGAAGUUAGUGUAAGCUAAUUUGGUAAGCUAAUUAUGGAUUGAAAAUUUAGAAUUCUCACAACCUUUAUUGAGCUAAUUUAGUAAAAUUGCAUUCACAUGAAGUUCGAGUUUGAGAAAAUGUCUACAAUCCAAUAAGAAUACAAAAGUUAGUGUAAGCUAUUUGCCUCGUGCAUCCUCCAUUCAUAUGCACGUUUUAAAAAAGAAAUUAUGAAGUUACAACUGAUAUUCAUAUUUUCAAAUCUAUCGAACUAAUGGUAAAGCAGCCAAAAGCUACUUUCAUACUAAUUUCAUGUUUGAAUGUCUACACUCCAAUAAGAAUACAAAAUUGAACCUAGGCUAUUUGCCUCAUAUUUUUUGCAUUUUAUGCACGUUAUGUGUAUAGUGUAUUAUUUCUAUGACUAAUAUUUGAGAAAUAUAUUUUUUCACAUGCAAUUGAUUUGAACUUCACGUGAGGAUAUUUCAAUUAAUCGCUAAGGUAUGUGAUAUAAAUAUUAGUGCUUAAGAACAUUUAUUUUAAUUUAGCUACGUCUAAUAGAAAUAUGGGCUCCAUAAUUUUUGUCCGAUAAUUUAUUUUGGUAGAAAAUAUACACAUUUAUUUGGGAAACACUAUUUUAUUUUUCUUAUUGCCAAUUUGGAAAUUUGAAUGCAAGCAAGUUCAGUCACUGAAUAUAUAUUCGCAUCUCUAGGACCAUGAUAACGCUACAACCUUAUGCUUAAAACAAAGAUGAUAAAAGGCUUAAGUAUGAAAAUGAAAGAAAAAAACUUAAACAACAAAGGUGUACGAUUUUGAUUAUUUGACAGAGAAAGUCAGACCUAACAUUUCUGCUUUUAAGCGAUAAUAUAUUUUUAAAACGAAUCCGAUCAUUUUCUCAUGGUAGCUUCGAAGAAGACGUAUUACUACUAGUCCCCUCCUUAGACGACGGAUCGAGCCGAACCUCCUCCUCCUCCACCAUCCGCCGGAGGAACUUGUUGGGAAGAUCCGGCGGAUGGAUCCGACCCGAAAGCUAUAGCGGAUGGAGAUACCGUGUACUGCUGAACCACGGCGCGGUAAUUGGCUAGAUCGGUGGUGAUUACUAUCGCUGGUGUAUUACGUGAGGCUCCUGAUCUUUUACGGCCUGUUUCUUGACUCGGACGUGAGUUCAUUUUGUUGUGUGUCUGUGAGAGUUUGUAAGAAAGAAAAGUGCAUUUGCCUUCGUUACUUAUUUGUUUAUUUAUAGGUUUUAUUUUGAUUCGACUUAGCCAGACGAAGACUAUUCUAAAUCAAUCGUGACUGUUAGUUGAGUUUUACCAACAAACUAUAAGAAUUAAGUUUGGUAAUUGGUAAUUGCCUACUUUCCCAACAAGUUUACGAAAUUGAUCCAUUUCACUCUAUGUAUUCUUCUAUUAAAGUAUUACGUAUAAUAAGUCCUUCACUUUACAUAAAACGUUACAAAGCUGACGACAUAUUUUCCUGAAAGUUCUUCUAACCAAAACUAGUGUGAAUCCUGAUCCUGACGUGUGAUACAAACUACAUCAUCGAUCGUUCUCUUUUUAUUAAUCAAAAACAGCCAAUGACCAAGCUUGGUGAUAAUCAAGCCCUAAUUAGAAAAUCACACACGAUAUUAAAGGAAAACUAAUAUUGGGAUCACAAGUGUGAAACAAUACAACAACAACAACAACAACAAAAGUAUAUACCUUCUUUCACUUAUCUCUUCACUUGUUGGCAUUUUCUUCCAUGCACUCUUAUUCAUCACACUUUUUAAAUAAAAAAUUAUACAAAAAAUAACGUACUAUAUAUACAAUCACAUUGGGAGGGCCAUGAGCAGCAUGGUCCGUUAUUUCAACAAAAGAAUUGUUUCACAAAAUUAUACCCCACAUGCCUUACUUGAAUAAUAAACUACUUACCACCAAUCCAUAUAAGGAAUCCACAGAGAAUCAUGGACAAAAAGGAUGGCUAACAUAAAUAACAGACAACAAUGAACACCAGACAAUGUACCAAAGCAACUCUCUCUAGUCUGAAACCCAUUCUGUUCUCCCAUGAUUGUGUCUCAGAAGCUGUGUAUGUACAGAAACGAUGGGAGAGGGAUUUGGGGCUAUGCAAGAAGCCUUUGUUUUAUUGGGUCUGAGUUGCGUCUUCUCUGGUUUUGCGCAGAUGCUUGCGUGAGUUUUCCUGCUCCGAUGAUGGCUUUACCUGACCGUGAUCCUAAGGAUUUUCCUGUUCAAGAAUUAAUAUUCAAAGUUUAGACUUAAAAAGACAAUAGAUCAAAGAUCAAAUGUGUUGCUUCUUAGAUGAAUGUGACUUGUUCCAUGUCUAUUCAAAGACUAUUAUCUUAAUCAUUAUAAGAAGUUUCCUAGGCCUAGAGAAAGAGAUCUGACCACUGUUUGGUAGAGAUAACCGUUCCUUUGGAUUGCUGUGAGAUCUUGGACCAGCACCAUGUCUUCUUGAGUUAACUUCAACAGCAAGGUCGUCUUUAACAAGCUUUGACCUAGCCUUGGAUACCACUGGAAUGCUUCCAGGUGAAGAAGAAUCAUUAUCAGACAGAGAUGGCCUUGUUGCCUUGCCACUCGAAACACCGGAUACAAGAGUUGAAGUGUUUGGCAUCCUGCUUGCACUUUUCAUCUGUGUUUUAUGCACACUCUCAGACUGCUCCAUAUUGUUUAAGUUUACAUCUUCUCUGAGGUUACUACUGUCAAGAAACCGAUUCUCCCAUGGACGAACAGCCAUCCAUCUCUCCAGCCAGUUCCAUCCCCAGUUGUUUUUGUCAGGUUGAAAUCCACUGUGCGCAGACAGCUGCCUAGUUCCUGCUUGCCACUACAAUACACCAAAUUCAAAUGUAAGAGAAAGAAUGAUCCUUAACUAGGAUAGAGGUUGUUGUGAGUAAAACCUGGUGAGUCAAAGCAUAAGCCAUAGCCCUCUCACGCUUAGCUGCAGCUUCCUGCCUCUUUAUCAGCUUUGCUUGGAUUUGCUCAACAGAUCCAAUGCUAUCACACCAACCUUCCUGAUAAGACAAUGUCAACACAACAAGAACUCUCUCAACAAAAGUAACAUAAAAUUUGUAUUUAGACAAGUGAUCAUCAGUCAUCACCUCUAUUUCUCGAACCCGGGAUUCAUCUGUUACUUGCUGUUGUAGCGUCUGCUGACCCGUUUCAGUUUCCAAGGAGAGACGAACACGUCUUGCACGUACACGAGCCUGGACUCUUACCAACGCUUGCAUGCACCGAAGCGUCACAGCUGCUUGUUUUCUCACAACGUGUCCUCUAACAAGGGCUUGUAGUCUCACCAAUCCCUUCAACGCUCUUAAAGCCCUUCUCGCCUACAAAAAAUUGUAUCUCCAAUUUUUCUCAGUCCAAUCAAGGCCAUAAAGAAUAGACAAUCACAGCACAACAAAUAAGAGGACUUAACAAGGAGAAAUUGAUACCAGAAAGGCUCGAAAAGCAGUUUGGAUGCGCGUUGCAGCCAGAUGUUCCUUCCUUUGUUCUUCAUAAGCUGCACCAUAUGACUGUAAUGAAGUUGAAGUAGAGACUCCAGCAUCUAUCACACUAUGCACAUUUGAAUCAUCAAGUCCAUCUUGGAACUUGUCAGCAUCAAAAUCAACUGAAUGCUUCCUCCCAAACCGGCUCUUGGUAGCAAUCUUCACCUUCAUCAGUUGAACAAACAUUUAAUGAAAACACAAAAAGAAAAUGAAAGUUGUAACCAAUAAUUGAUAAAGAGAUUCUCUAGUCAUUUACAUUAUCAUCCUUCUUUGAAGACUUUGACUUGGUGAAACCAACCAAUGCUUUAAUCCAUCUCCCUGAAGCACCCAUUGCACAUCAAUGAUAACAACAAACCUGCAAAACUGUAGCUGAAUUAUACAAAAAGAAACGAACUUUCUAUUUUGGGUCAAAGCAAAAAAACAAGGAAACUCAAUUGGGUAGCUAAAUGCUUCAGACACUGUUUUUUCGUUUGACCAAAACUUUUCGGACAAUGUUUUUUUUUUGUUUGACCAAAACUCUUCAGACAAUGUUUGGGAUCCCAGAGGAACACUAAAUCAAACAGCUGUCUAAAGCAAAAGAAUAAGAAAAUUUUGCAAUAAAACUUUCAAAUUAAGAAACAGAGAGAGAGAGACACUCGAGAGAGUAAGCAAAGUUAGAAACUUUACCGGCGGGGAAGGAAAGAUCAGCAGCCGAUGAGAUCCCCGAGGAGGGUGUGAAAGUGAGUGAUCUUCAGUCUCACUGACCGUCUUUCUUGCCUACUUUCUCUCUAUCUCUCUAGAUUUGGGUGAAGGAUUAUUUAUUACAGAUAGGAAUUGACUUGCUGAAAUUUGAUUUUUUUUUAUCGUUUCGUUUCCCUCUCCUUGGAUACGAAUGAGUGAAUGAUUGGAUAGAUUGCACGCCGUCAGGGUGCUAAAUUUACGCCGUGUAACCCGAACAUGCUGAGUUUGACAGCGUGACAGCGUUUUGUUUAGCUGUAAAACUGCGCGCUGUUUAGAUUCUGUUAUCCUUUUUUUUUUUUUGUGGACUUAUAUAGACUCUCUGAACCAAACUGGGAGAUCUUGAUUCAUGUGAACUACAAUCAUGAGAUUCUGUUAUCUCAUUUUGCAAAAUAAUGAACCAAUAAAUUAUUUAUUUAGUUUAAAAGUAUUGUUGAACCAAAGGUUCUACUAAAUGUUGAAUGAGUUAAUUGGAGACCAAAACAUGUUAGAAAUCUCGUUUAUUAGAAAUAAAUUGAAUCCGAUUACACAAGUGAGAGAAGGUUUAAGUAUGUAAUAAGUUCACACCAUUGAGUCGAGACAAUACGAUGUCUACUAAGAGAAUCAAACUCGGGUGUUUUUUUUUUUUACAAAUCAAACUCGGGUGUUUAUCUUUCCAAAUUCUCUCUAGACACUUUUUUAAAAAUAUGAAAUACAAAUAAAAAAGAAUUAAAAACAUCUAUUUUCGCCAAUAAUUCUCCCAAAACAAAACUCAAAACAAGAAAAAAGGAUGCAUAAACUCAAACAAAAGACACAAAAUAUUACUUUUUCCGUUUCAAAAUAGAUGUGAUUUUAGAAAGUUUUUAAUAUUUUAAAAUAGAUGAUGUUUUCAUAUAUCAAUGCAUUUUUCACUUUAUCAAAAACUGUGUAACUAAUGAUAUGUCUAUUUUGUGAUUGGUUGAUUAACUUUUAAUUUAUAUUUUAAUGAUAUUUUUAAGAUAAAAAAACAAAUUUCUUAAUAGUUGUGCACAAUCUUAAAAUUUUAUGUAUUUUGAAAUAGAGGGAGUACAAAACUAGAUGGAACCUAGCUAUUGUUUUCCAGUAAAUAAACAUAUAUAUUUUCUCUACAUUAAUGAAAGAAAAUAACAGAAAGGUAUACAUAACGGGUUGCAUAAAACCAAAAACAAAGUUAUAUGUAAUGGAUCACUGUUUGACGCUGACGAUGAGUUCGUCCGCGUCUAUGAUCAUUGACGCCGAACAACCAAUGCGAUUUGUGGGAAAGCAAUGGUCAAUCCAAUCACGACACCAGGUGCGAAACCUAUGGCUGCUGCAAUCCAGCUCAAGACUUGUUCCUCUUCUUCCUCCUCUAGCGGCGGGUCAUCAUGCCCAACCACUCCACACUCGUCGAGAGGAGCACCACAAAACCCCGAGACUCUCUGCGUUUGAAACUGUGUGCUUUGCGGAAUCAUCCCUACGAGCUUGUUGUGUGAAACUCUCACGGUAGAUAGGCUUGUGAGGCCCGCGAGACUAUGAGGAAUUUGUCCUGAGAGCUUGUUAAGAGUGUAAGGAUCCUGGUGUAACUCAUCUCUACUCCUUUAUUCGUCAAAACCAUUUUGAGUCUUGAUAAUAAGUGUUGUCUCCAAUGUACUUCAGUUUUGAAUGAUUUUUCUCCGAGUGCAUAGCGCUCCAGUACAUGAAGAAAUCAGACGGUAAGGCUCCCGUGAAUGCAUUAUGCGAUUCGCAGCUGAGGAAACCAAGUAGCAGCCUUUGGUUGGUAUUGUAACGACCCGUGAAACUCAUUAGAGUGGAGGACGAGUACUUGUAGCUUUGGCAAGCUCUUUAACCAGAAGGGAAAAGUAUCGUUGAUUCUGUUGUGCUCCAUGUUUAAAACUUCUAAAGAAGAGCAAUCAGAGAGAGAUCUUGGGAGUUUAUGAACCAAUUGGUUGCGACCAACAUUGAGUGACCUUAGAUUGCUGCCGUUGAGAAAUAUGUCUGGUAGUUUUCCACCGAGGUGAUUACUGCCAAGGCUUAACACUGAAAGAGACCUCUUGAUGAGAGUAUUGAGGCACUCAGGAACAGAUCCGUUCAAGUUGUUGUUUGAUAAGUUGAUAGGUACAAGCAUACUUAUGAGAGGAGAAGACUGAAGAAGAGUGAAGAGAUGAGAGGAGUCGCGGAGCUGAACGAAGAAGCUUGAAGAAUAAUAAAGGAUGAAAUAAAGACACGUGUGUGUUAAGUAGAGAGACUAUAAAUACUAGCUGAGAGUUUGUUAGACGGUUAUCGAGAGUUUACAAUUGUGAAUCUUAGCAUAUGAGCUGAGAGCUACUCAGGUGAUAGAGUAGUUGAGGAUUCAGGUGAUAGAAUCCUCCAUUGUUGUAAUUCUCGAGUUGCUUCAUCAAUAAAGAGUGUAUUUUCAGUAGUUACGAUCUUUGAUCCUAUCAAUUGGUGCGGUGAAACUGGUUCGUGAUCACGCGACUGCGGCGGAGAUUUGGAAGAUCGCGGAGAAGACGAAGUCGCGAUCGAUACGAUCUACAGCGGAAACGACGAGUUUCGAGAACGAUGUCGAAGGCGAAGAUAGCACCAGAGAGUCCGAUGAUCGGUUCCGAAGAGGAAUUUGAGGUCGAGGAAUCCGAUAUGACGGUGGAUUUCUUGAGAGGUGGUUACUCGAGACUCAAUCGCGCGAUGAAGGAGGUAGAGAGUAAUCAGGAGAAGACGAAUCAAGAGCUCAACGCGAUGCGACAAAUCUUAGAGCGCCUUGAUCCAUUACGGAAUCAACAACAUCAUUCACAGCCAAGUUCCUCCCGCGAUCAGGUACACUCUCGUCACUGGGAACGAAACCGGGAAGAACAAUCGCUAGGUUAUCGAUCUGGGAAUAUGAAUUUGGAUACUAGAGAUUCGAUGUUGAAGAAGAUACCAAUGCCUGUGUUCUCGGGGAAGCAACCUUACGUAUGGAUCACAGACGUUGAGAGAUGGUUUAGUAUUGGGAGGUAUGAGGAUAUGGAGAAGCUAGAGCUGGUUGCAUUAAGUUUGGAAGGAUGUGUGAAGAAGUGGUUUGGCUGGGAGCUGAAGAGGAGUGGGUUUCGGAAUUGGCAAGAGUUCAAGGAGAAAUUGCUGUUGCGGUUCACUGAGUCUAUUGAGGAAGAACCAGCUAGUCGUCUCAUUGCACUCAAGCAAACAGGUUCAGUGGCUGAGUAUGUAUCAGAGUUCGAAGAGUUAUCAGAAUUGGUUCCGGGAUUAACUGAUGAGUUCUUGAUCAAGAUCUUUUACAACGGACUCACACAAGAGAUGAAAGAGGUAAUCAGAAUGAAAGAGCCUAAAGGACUGGAGAACCACAUCGCAGCUGUCUUGAGAAUGGAAACACAAGAAUCAUUUGACCAUUUGAAGAAAGCCAUGGUUUCAGCUCCUGUAUUGGCCCUACCUGACUUUACGAAGCCAUUUAUAAUUGAGACUGAUGCGUCGGGUUUUGGGGUUGGAGCCGUGUUAAUGCAGAACAAGAAACCAAUCGCAUACUUCAGCCAUGCUCUAACACCAAGAGAGAGACUGAAACCAGCAUACGAGAGGGAGCUCAUGGCAGUGGUUUUUGCGGUACAAAAAUGGAAACAUUAUCUACUUGGUAGGAAGUUCGUGGUCCAUACAGAUCAAAGGAGCCUGAAGUAUUUGUUGGAGCAGAAGGAAGUGAACAUGGAGUAUCAGAAAUGGUUGACGAAACUUCUAGGCUAUGACUUUGAUAUCGUAUACAAGCCGGGUUGCGACAAUAAAGCGGCAGAUGGGUUGUCUCGGAUUGAAAAUGGGAGUUUAUUACACUGUGGAUCAGUCUGUUUGGCAUUGACAAUGCCUUCAGUCAUUCAAAUCCAAGAUAUAUACAACGAAAUAGCGGCGGAUGUAGAAUUGCAGAGGAUGAUUUCAUUGGUGAAAAAGGGAGAAUCAGUUAACGCACAUUAUCGAGUGAUUGAUAACAAAUUAUGGUACAAGCAGAGGUUGGUUAUACCGAAACAGUCGACGUUGAUACCAUUGAUCCUGUUUGAAUGUCAUGAUGGGAAAAUAGGGGGUCACUCAGGAGUAUUAAAGACAGUAAAGAGAGUUCAGACAAUGUUCCAUUGGGAAGGGUUAUUCAAGACAGUGCAGAAGUAUGUCUCAGAAUGUGGAGUGUGUCAAACUCACAAGUACUCUACACUAUCACCAGCAGGGUUACUACAACCCCUACCAGUUCCGGAGCGUGUAUGGGAAGAUAUCUCAAUGGAUUUUGUGGAAGGUCUGCCUACUUCUCACGGUAUUAACGUGAUCAUGGUCGUUGUUGAUCGCUUGAGUAAAUAUGGCCACUUUAUAGGACUGAAACACCCGUUUACAGCAGUGGAUGUGGCAAGUAAAUUCAUGUCAGAGGUUGUUCGUCUCCACGGCUUUCCAAAGUCAAUUGUCUCGGAUCGUGACAGGAUUUUUUUGAGCAACUUUUGGAAAGAUUUGUUUCGUCUCUCGGGCACUAAACUGAAGUAUAGUACAGCUUUUCAUCCACAAACAGACGGUCAAACAGAGGUAUUGAAUCGAUGUAUGGAGACCUAUCUUAGAUGCUUUGCAUCAGGACAUCCUAAGACGUGGUAUAAGUUCCUCGCAUGGUCUGAGCUAUGGUAUAAUACAUCAUUUCAUACUGCGUUAAAAGCAACGCCAUUCCAGGUCGUCUACGGCCGGGAACCGCCUCGGUUGUUACGAUUUGAAAAGGGUUCAACACUGAACUUUGAGUUGGAAUCUGCACUGAAGGAGAGAGAUGCUAUGUUGGUUCAGAUUCGUCUUCACUUGGCUAGGGCUCAGUCUUUGAUGAAGUCUCAAGCCGACAAACAUAGGCGAGAUGUUCAGUUUACGGUGGGCGACUUGGUGUAUCUUAAGUUGAAGCCAUUUCGUCAGAACACAGUGGUCAAACGUUAUUGUCAGAAACUUGCUGCGAAGUACUUUGGACCAUAUGAGAUUACAGAGAAGGUGGGAAAGGUAGCUUAUCGUUUAAGGUUACCUAUUGAAUCCAAAAUACACCCUGUCUUUCACAUUUCACAGUUGAAAGCGGCGUUGGGACAAGAUCAAGUUCGUCAGGUGGUUCCACCUACUUGCACAGAUUUGGAGAACAUUGUUAUGGAACCAGCGGAUGUAUUGGCUUCUCGUGUUCAAGAUGAUGGCAUGGUGGAAUUAUUGGUUCGUUGGCAAAACUCCUUGGACCAUGAGGACUCGUGGAUGGGGUUGAGGGAGUUUGAGGAUCAUUUUCCAGAUUACAAGCUUGAGGGCAAGCUUGCUCUCAAUGGGGGGAGUAUUGAUAGGUACAAGCAUACUUAUGAGAGGAGAAGACUGAAGAAGAGUGAAGAGAUGAGAGGAGUCGCGGAGCUGAACGAAGAAGCUUGAAGAAUAAUAAAGGAUGAAAUAAAGACACGUGUGUGUUAAGUAGAGAGACUAUAAAUACUAGCUGAGAGUUUGUUAGACGGUUAUCGAGAGUUUACAAUUGUGAAUCUUAGCAUAUGAGCUGAGAGCUACUCAGGUGAUAGAGUAGUUGAGGAUUCAGGUGAUAGAAUCCUCCAUUGUUGUAAUUCUCGAGUUGCUUCAUCAAUAAAGAGUGUAUUUUCAGUAGUUACGAUCUUUGAUCCUAUCAUAAGUCCACAACUUCUAGGGAAGUCAUAUCACAUAUCGAUAUGGGAAUCUCUCCUGAGAAGUUAUUUUCGCUCAGAGAUAUCACUUCCAUCUGCGUUUUUGAGAGAUGUUUUGGGAAUUGUAUGAAACCGCUGAACAUGUUGUUGGAGAGAUCAGCAUACGUCAGUUUUGGAAGUUUCCAUAACCAACCGGGCACUCCACCUUUGAUUUCGUUGUAAGAAAGGUCUAAGGAAAUCAUAUGUUGUUGGGUUCUUAUGAACUUUGGAAAUCUUGUGAUACCACAGUCUGACAUUUUCAACCUGUUCAGUUGCGAUGAAAGAAUGGAAACUGAACUCAUGUUUUUAGGUGAAACAUAGUUGCCUGAAAGACGCAAUGUAGUCAGCGACUCGAGAUGCGAGGAUGAAAUUUUAUUCAAAUCAAUCACAGUGGUGGUGUUUAAGUAGGAUAGGUAAAGAUGUUUGAGCAACUUGAGAUGUUAGAAGAUACCAAAGUCAAAUGGCGCUUGAGUGUCCAAAUAGGAAAGAUCAAGGAACACAAGGUUGACAAAUUUUGAUAUGGAUCUAGGGAUUGGCCCUGUCAAAUCGUUUCGGGAGAGAUCUAGUUCUUGUAGCUUAGACAUUGAAGAUAUAUUCCCAAUCUCAAGAGGGCCACUGAGUUGGUUAUUAUUUAAAAAUAUUGUCUCCAAAGAAGGAAUGGUGAAGAGAGUAGACGGGAUUGAUCCAACAAAAGAGUUUAAACUUGCAUCAAAGUACUUCAAGUUGGAGAGUGAAGUGAUGUUAGGAGAAAGAGCGCCUGUGAAGUGAUUGAAGGCUAAUGCUAAAUCUGUUAACUUUGUGAGAUUGAGUAAUGCAGUGAGAAAAUCUCCACUGAACAUGUUAUUCAACACAUUUACAUUGGUCAUUUGGUUAAGGUUUUGUAUUGAAGAUGGGAUUUCACCAUCAAAGUUAUUAGAAGAAAGGUGGAGAGUGUUGAGGAGAGAAAGGUUUCCAAUUGAAAAUGGAAUCUUCCCUGUGAGGUUACAAUUGUCAAAUCUCAAGACAUUCAAGUGUUUGAGGUUGCCAAUGGAGGUUGGUAUGUAGAGAUGUCAAAUGGGCUGUCCAUGUCCAAUGGGCAUGUCCAAAUGGACAAACUAGUUUAUUGGACAAUAUUAUUUUUAAGUCCAAAUUGGACCAUGUCCAAACUGUCCAGACCAAAUGGGCAUUCCGCGAGGCCCAAUUAAAAAAACAGUGUUAAAAUACAAAAAUUUAUAUGCAACAUAAUUUCACUACAUUUCAUGGAGUUUAAAAAUAUAGAUAAAGUUCAUACAUCAUCCAAUGGCCUAAAUAAGCUUCAUACAUACAUAGAUUAGGUUCAUACAUUAUUCAAACUCCAAAGCAUAGAUUAGGUUCAUACAUACAUUAGAUUAGGUUCAUACACACAUAAUUAAACUUCAGUCUUUCCUCUCACUCCAUCAUUAGAGAUUAACCUGCACAAGAGACCCCAACAUUACCAUCAAGCAAACAACAGAACGUCUUCUACAUUGAAUUGUGUCAGUUUCUAAGUGAUUAAACCAGAAACACAAUUACAGCUACAGCUCGUUUCUAAGUGAUUAUACCUUUAAUUGUGUCGAGUCUUCUUCUUCUUUCCAUUUCCUUCUGCUUCCUCAUUGGCAUCUUCCUGAACUUCCUCAUCUAAAUCGCAUCCAGCUAUCAAAAACAAGAAGUUCAAUCAAUAAUUUCACAUAUCAAAGCUCAAUUAUAAAUUCAACAAACUCACCAAUCACUUCAAAACCACGAAGCCAGUUUCUAGCACAAAUCAAAGCUUGGACAUUUGAUGGAAGAAGGCGGCUCAUGUACUUGCUAAGAACCCGACUUCCCACACUGAAGGAUGACUCAGACGACACUGUUGUUAUUGGGAUGCAUAGGACAUCACAUGCCAUUCGAGACAGCUCCUUAAACCUGUUUGCAUUGUCCCUCCAGUACUUGAUGACAUCUAACUUUUGAUUUGCAACCAUAUCGAGCACAGGUUCACUCAGAUACAAAUCUAAAGCAGAUUUCCUUGUUCCUGCUUGUUGAGAGAAGAACUCAUAGAAGCCCUGCAAAAAAAAGAGAUUAUUAAAGCGUAUGUUGAGAGAAGAAUACACAUCUGAUUCUGGUAAAUAAUUUAAAUAAUUUAAGUAACUUACCCCAUAACCAGAUGGUAAAGCAUUUGCUUCUACUUCUUGUGAACUAUGCGCACUAGUAUUCUUCUUGUAAUCUCCAUACAGCUUCAACAUCCUUUUGCGUAUGUAAUCCAUUCGGGAUUUACAAGUUGCUGGAUCUGAACUGUGGUAGCAGUACUCCAAAACCUUGAACUUUAGCCUAGGAUCUAACACUGCUGCAAUGGCUAAAAUGUCGCUGUACUCUUCCCAAUACUUAACAAACUUCAUCCUCAUGGAAGCCACCAUAUCAGCAAUCACUGUAUCUUCAUGGAACUCAUUUGAACUCAACCAAUUUUGAAUUUUCCAUACUUCCAUGAAGUACAGAUUCGCGGUAGGGUAAGAAGAGCCGGAAAUGAGCCUUGUCAUCUCUUCAAACGGCUGUAACAGAUUACAAAUCAGCCCAGCUCUUAACCACUCAGACUCUGUAGGUAAGCUCUUGUAACUUGCUUCGAUUUCUGCAAGAUUCUUAAAUGCUUCUUUGUAGUGAAGAGCCCUAGACAGCAUCAUAUAAGUUGAGUUCCACCGCGUAGUGACAUCCAAAACUAAACUGCCUUUCUUAACAAUUCCAAGAGUCUCCACACAGCCUUGAAACAGCAACUCUCUAGACUCACUGACCUUGACAUACUUAACACUGUCUCUGAUCUUCUCCAAAGCCUCACUUAUCACCGCUAAUCCGUCUUGGACAAUGAGAUUCAGAAUGUGAGCAGCACACCUGAUGUGAAAGAACUCGCCACCGCAGACUAAAUCCUUUCUAAGUUGCCUCUUGAGAAAUCCUUGCAUGUUGUCAUUUGAGGAGGCAUUGUCUACGGUUACUGUGAAGACCUUCUUCUGCAACCCCCAUUCUUUAAUCAGCUCCAUUAGUUUCAUGGCAAUGGCCGGACCAGAAUGGGGUGGAGGGAAAGCACAGAAGGAGAGGAUCUUAGCUCUAAGGUUCCACUCAGUGUCGACAUAGUGGGCAGUAAGACAGAGAUAGCCUUCGAUUGUGAUUGCUCUCCAUAGAUCCGUCGUUAGACAGAUCCUACCCGGAACUUCACUCAACACCUGCCUGAGCUUCAUUUUCUCCCUCUCGAAGAUCUUAAAAACAUCUGAAACCGCCGUGUUUCGACACCAAAACUCUAUGGUCGGGUUGGCAUAAUGCAAAGCUUCUCGAACUCUUCUGUACUCAACAAAGGAGUAAGGUAGAUCAUGCUCGACAAUAGCCACAGCAAUCAUUUCUCGAAACACCAGCUGAUCGAUCUUAGGACAUGUAUUAUUAGGGGUUUUAGAGCAGGUUCUUGAGUGGCGAAGCAGAGUAGUGGUUCCACUUCUAUGUAAGUCUAUGAUGUAGAAGUGGUUACAGUAGUUGCAGACGCAUUUAAAUUUUCCAUCAGGCAUCCUAUCUCCUUCUAUAGUAAAAAAGUUCCAGCACUUAGAGUGUCUACGCUUGUGUUUACCUUUCACCUCGGCUGUACUCAUCAGAGACUCGUCCACCACAGGAUUGUUCUCGUCCAUUUCCUGUUCUGAAUCCCCAUUGUCACUCAGGUAGUCAUCAUCAUUGUUCAAACUCAAUGUAUCCAUCUGAAAGCAAUAAAAAAAAAACAUCAGAGAAACCCAUAUACAUCUCGCAAGAAAACAACAGUAGCCAGUAAGACAUAAACAAGCUACGAAAGAAGAAACGCUAAAGAAGCAAACAAACCAUGAACCAUUAAGCGUGAACUAGAAACUGUGAGCCCAUCUCGCUAAAGAAGCAAACAAACCCAUUAAGCGUGAACUAGAAACAAACCAUGAACCAGAAACUGUGAACUAGAAACAAGCCAUGAAAGCAAUAGAACCAUCAAACAUUCUAAAGCAAUGUAAGCAAGUUACAAGUCGUGAAACAAAUAAUAAUACCCGUAGUUUUGAGUUACAGAAACACAUUCUAGAAACACAAUCUCAAACAAGCAAACCCAAGAGAGCUAAAUGUUAAAGCCACGAACCAGAGAGAGUGACUAAAAGUCAUGAACCAGAAACCCAUCUCAAAGUCAUAAACAAUGAAAGCAAGUGAAGUUUACUUUUCAAAGUCUAAACCCAUCUCAGACCCAUCAACUAGACAAUCAAACAAACCCACUGAGAGUGACUGAUUUACCUGAGAGGUGAGAAAGUAAGAGACUCGAGAGACUGAGAGUGAAAGGGUCGAAUGUUCUUCGAUCCAGGAGAGUGAGGCUCAAGCUGUACACAAUAAGAGAAACCCAUCAACACAAACCCAUCUCGCAAAACAAGCAAACAAACCCAUCUGAAGAAGAAGAGUGUUUCAAUUUACCUGAGAGACGGGAGAAGUAUAUGGUUCUUCGAUCGGAGACGAUUCAGACGCGAGAGUGAGAGGCGGGACGAGAGAGCUUCUUCAAUCUAGGAGAGUGAGAGAGCCGAGACUCUGUGGAAUCGCAAACCCAUCAUUCCAUCAAACUAAAAGCAAUCAAAUCGCAAACCCAUCAAAAUCGCAAAACCCAUCAAAUCGCAAAAGUGAGUGAGGAGAACAUACCUGAAGGCUGAAGCGAAUCGAAGAAGUUAGAGAGUCGGGAGAGGCGGAUCGAGAGUCGGGAGAGGCGGACCGAGAGCGGAGAAAGGCGGAUCGUCGCCGAGUUUGAGAGAGAAUCGAGACUUCGAGAGAGACAGUUUGAGAGAGAGAGAAUCGCGACUCUGGAUUUUUCCCCAAAUGAAAACCCUAGUUUUUUUAGAUCAUUGGGCCGUCCAUGUCCAGAUGGUUAAGCCCAUCGAAUUUGGGAUUUAUUGGACAUCAACCCAAUUGGACAGCUUUAUUUAUGGGUCUAAUUUGGUUAGUCCAAAUGGGUUUGGACAUGGUUUGCCCAUGGACAUGAGGCCCAUUUGACAUCUCUUGAAAUAGAUGUUUCAGAGAGGUCCAGAUAUACAAGAGAGUUACUUCCAUUGAAUUCUGGGAGAGAGGAUUCUAGAUAUGGAUUCAUACUCAAAUCAAUUGAUUGAAUAAUAGGACUCCGAAGAAAACUCAAAGGAAGUCUUCCGAAUAAGUGGCAUUUAUGAAGGCAGAUUGAUCUUAGAGAGGUCAGGUUUGAGAUCAUUUGAGGAAUUUCUGAGGAAAUGUUUACGUAGCUCAUAUCAAGGUGUCUAAGGUUUGUUAAGUUCUGAGCAAGUUGACCAAGAAAGGGUUUAUCUAUAAACAAGGGACGACUUUGAGAGAGGUUAAAACAAGAAGAAAGGUCGAGAGACACCAACUUGGUAAGAUGAAGAAUCUCAGGUGGAAUCUGACCAGAAAACCAAGAGUGGGAGAGGUUAAGUCUUUCUAACCCCAUGAGUUUAUUGAAGCCAGACGGGAUUGGAGACGCAUUGAAAUCGUUGUAAGCAAGGUUGAGAUUUCGGAGUUGUCGCAGUACAAAAAGACUGCUAUUGAGUUUGAAAUGACCAUGGAGGGAGCUGUAACUAAGGUCUACCCCAGUCACCAUACCUGAGUUAGCAUCGCAUGUGAUACCGUCCCAUUGACAACAGUCGCUGUUGUUUGCCCAUGAUUUUGUCUUGGGAUAAGAGGUUACAUUGACAGGAACCAGAUAAUCAUGUAAUAACUCGUCAAGAAACUCAGGAGGGUUGCCAAGCUCAAACUCACUCUUGAACUCGAGAAGUGCGUCCCUUUGGUCGGGACGACAAAGUGUAAGAGAAGCAGAAGAGUAUAAAAAACUUGAAAUAGAAGAGAAGAACAGAAAUAGGCUCAUUGAGUUGGUUCCUAUCAUCCUUUCUCAGAAUCGGUGCACGUUUUAAUUUCGUUCUGUUGUAUGUGUGUGUGUGUGUUUUGUAGUAAGUGGUCCAAGUCCCUAUAUAUACACACAUAACAUGCAUUGUUCAUUUAGUAGUAUGAACACAUCGUGCAGCGUUUGGUGACAUUUAAACAAAGAGUAUUUGAUUGUCGUUCGCUGUUUUACAAAAAGCAAAAACAGUAUUUACUUUAAUGGUUCAACACAUUAUUUCCUUACGAGUAUGCAAACUUUGGUAAAGAAUGACCCUAAAGAAAUAUAUUAUAAGUUAUCAACGUUGGACAAAUAAAGUUAAUACUGCUUUGGCUUUUUUAUAAAGUAGAAACGAGGAUAUUGUUGUUAAGAUGCAAAACAAGAACAAACUCGUUGUGUUUUGUUCUUCUUUCAUAUAGUUUGGGAAAGUGACAAUGGUUGCCUAUUUUACAUAUGUGUGUGAUUGACAUAUCAUCUUUCUCAAUGACUAAUUUGAUCUUUGCAUUUGCCAUUAAUUUAUGAUAUAACGUUUUCUUCAUGUUUUCUUGAGUUUUUCUCGAGUCAUCAUUCGUUGGUUUUUCUCAAACUUUGUUGUGUUGCAUGCAUUGUUUUUACGUGGUUUCAGAGGAUUAACUCCUACCAGUUUUAUUUUCCAGCAAGACUUUCGGACUUGAUUUCCGGUUUUGAUUGCAAGGCCAUUCGCUGACAGACUAUAUGGCAUGGGUCUCUUAAGGUUUUGAGAAAUACUGAGAGACUUCCGGAUGCAAAGCUUCCUUCUAGAAGCUCCACUAUAAUCAAUUCCAUAUGAAAAGAAAAAUAUCGGUCGCAGAUUUGAUUUAACUUUUAAUUUCAGGAUAUUACUUUUCUCAUACUUUUAAAUUUAAAAUGCUCUGGCCUGAGCAAACAAGAGACUGAAUUGAAAUUGUAACAGCAGAGUAAUACGCUCAAUCACGCUAAUUCCACAAACAACAACUCUGGUUUUCCUCUUUGCAAUUUAAAAAGAGAAAGACUUGAACCUCCUCAAAAUGUAUACUGUAGUGCAGUUGGUGGUUAACUUCUAUCUCUAAUAGAUUAAUCAAGAAUAGCAAUACUUCUGUAAUGCCCAUAAUAUGCAGCACCAAUACUAAAUAACAAAAGCCACCUUGACUCAUCAUAACAGUAUGAUGAUCAUGAAGAAAACAAAUUUUAUAGAAACACAUUUCAAGAACAAUCAAUCCAUCACUGUAAACAGGAACUCUUAUUAGUUGCUAAUAAACUAGUGACGACAUAUAAAUUAAAGUAACAAUAUAGCAAAUGAUCAUUAACUAAAAAGACAAAAUCAGGAACCAGAGAAGUAAAAAACCAUCCGAAACAUGAUCCACAUUCAUUCUAGAAACUACAUAAUGAGUACAAAUUAAAUUCCAGUGAAAUAUAAAGAACGGAAGCGAAAUGAAAUGAAAAGAAAUGGAAAUGGCAGUUAACCAACACGAGCAUCUUGACUAUCCCCUAACAUUAUUUCAUUUCAUGUCCGAAGCACAAGAGAUUGGAUUUGCGGAAUACUAGGCGCAGUAUUGAUUAGACUGAACAACCAAAGGGUAUGGUAUACAGAUUUGUUUAGUCUUAUCUUCCAGAAGCAAAGACAGAGACUACAUUGGCAUUUCACCGAUGCAUAACAAAGCAUUUACUUCAACUCAUAGCAGUUGAAGAUGAAACAUGAAAAUGAAAUCAAUUUCAAGCUCAGAAAAACAACAACUCAUACAAAACAACGAAUCUAAAACCAAAAGACCAACAGUACAUCGAGAGUGACAACUAACUUGAGUAUGCUUCAAUGACCCUUAAUGUGUUCCCACAAGCAAAGACAGAGACUUACAUUUGCAUUACACCCAGCAUCAAAUCCCUUUUAACAAAAGCAUUUCCUAUGAUUUAUAAAAUUUGAGAAUGUAACACAAAAUAAAUUCAGACAAGUCCAUUUCAAUAUCGAUCUAGGCACUGUGAACCUUGAAAAGCAAUUAAGCUUGCAGCAUAUUUCACACAAAUGAUGAUAAAAAUGAUUAAAAAAAGGCAAAUUCUUUCAAAUAAAAAAGUCUUAAUCCAUCCAAAACAUGAUCCACAUUCAUUCUAGAACUACAAAAGCAAUCUGUAAAUUCCAUUACAAAAGAUAAAAAGAAACUCGGUUCUCAGAACCUUAGCUUGGUGAAGAACCACCUGUUCUUUCCAGACUUGAACCUCUCCUCGAGCUUAGCCUUAGCCUCCUUAAGAGCCGCCACCUUCUUGUCCUUCGAAGCCAGAGCCUCGAGAGUCGCAACCUCCUUCAGAUCCACGUCCAACGUGUAACGAGUAGGCAUCAGAUGCUGGUAGUUAACGACCUUGAUGAAACACUUGACCCUCGACUUCUUCGCCGUCUUCUUGGCUGAGUCCUUGCGGAUGACCUUGCUGGGGUACUUCUUGAGCCCGGCGACGAGGCAGUGUCCGUAAGGACGCUCGCGGUUGCCGUCGUCGAAGGAACGGAUGAUCACAGCCUUCUUGCCGGCAUAACGACCUUGAAGGAGGAUCACAGCUUUGUUCUGCUUCAGAAACUUAACCAUGGCUUCGUCUCUACUUUUUUUUCCGGCGAAGAAUAGUUUGCUAUGAAAAUAUAUAUAGUGUGCUAUGGAGAAACCCUAAAGGUAGAAAUGAAAGGCUUCUCAGUCAAGGCUUCUCAGUCGGCCCAUAUAUAGUGGGCUGGGCCUACUGAAAUCCAAAUAUCUCACAACCUUAUUCACACUUUUAAAAUAGAGUAUGCCUUACAAUAUACUUUUUUAAAAUCUUUUUUCUGUAACUACAAUAUUUUUUUUUCUUAAAUCUUUUUUCUGUAAUUACUAUAUUUUUUUUACCUUUAAAAAAAAACAUAAUAUAAGUUGAUAAUAUUUUAUUUCUUUUUUUUUUAAAUAUGUAAUAUAAAAUAACACAAUCUUAUUGGUUGGUGAACCCAAAAAUAACUCUUUUGUUAAUAGACAACAUACAUUUUAAAUGCAUUUCUAACAUUACAUUCAAAGAUCUACAACCUAAAUGAAAUAUUUUUGAGCGAUCAACAUAGAAAAAAGCACUACCAUGAAAUGAAUGGUCAAGGGUCAAGAGGAUCACUACUGUUUAACCAUAGAUAAAAACAAGAAGAGGGUGAAAUAUAGAAGGCAAAGGAGAAGGUAUAUGAGUCAUAGGACGAGGUUAUACUAUUUUCAUCAAUUUUGAUACAUGUUGUGAGAAAUGGCACUAUACGACUUCAAGCCUUUGCAUGUACCGAAUGGGUGAGUCAUUCAUCACCCGGUCAUGGAUUGAUCAAAACUUGAUCAGACCGACCACAAGAAACAAGAAAUGGAGGGACGUGUGUAUGUAUAGAUUAUUUCAGACCUUCUCAAUCUUUUAAAAGUUCCAUUACAAUUAAGAAGAACGUAAUGAGAUAUUGUACCGGACCAAAGGAGGUUAUUAUACCAUCUAUUCAAGUCUAGAUUAAACUGAUGGUGAAUAGAGACAUUUGGGAUAAGCCACGUUGUGGUAAGCCAAAAAGACGACAAUACAAAGGAAACACCACAUAAAAACCUUGAGGAGACAAACUGAUAGGUCCCAGUUAUAGGAUCAUCUAUUGCUGAUCUAGAAACAUGUGAUUUGAUACCAAUUAAGGUCAACUCUUCAAAUCAAAGAGAAUUUGCCAAGAAUAAACUACGAAUACAUUUUUCUUUGGGUAGUUAAGACUACCUCUUUUUGUUGUUUUCAUUGAUUUAAAUAGAUAAAAGUUACAAGAAGCAAUUGUGGGAUCAUGAUCCCUAUACAACGAUGAAAUGGGAAAAGUGGGAUGAUUAAGUUCCUAAACAUUAGGAAGAAUCAGUCUCCAUUAUUAACAACUAAACUCAUUAAACUAAAUAAUUAAAAGAACAAUGAAACACUGUAAACCAGGUCCGGUUCGUUGACCAACGUUAACGCGAUUACUAUCUCAUCACAAACAUUGUAAAAUCUCCAAGGAAUGGAUACCUUAUUGGAUGGAAGGAUGGUACAAAAGAAGUAGCACAAGGUUAUUAAGCAUAGACGUGGGAGAAGGAACGCAGGAGCUAUCUUGAAUCACGUCAGAUUGACAAGAAGAAGAAGAAAAAGAAAAGUUAACAUUGAAGGAUGAUGGAUGGAUGGGUUGAUGGGAGAAAAAGAACAUGCAUGAGCAGUGGAGGAGAAAAGUUUAGAUAUCGAGGGAUAUGGUGAUACCGGAAAAAUCAAUCUGAGUGCUUAAUUGGUUUAUUAAACCAGAUAUGGAAGACCCCCGGUUGGUUGGACAGAAAUUGGAAAAAGAAACACGAUGAAACAAAACUUGUUAAAAUAGACCAUUGAAAAAUUGGAACCGUUCAUAAUAUAGUACGUAGAAAGACCAGAAUAGACAAUAUAAAUAUUUUAGACAUAACAGAAGAGAGAGAGGUCAUGCGACUCAUGCUUGAUAAGUUAAUAUAUAGGAAUGUGUAUAUUUGAGAGUACUAUUUGUAGUCUUAGAACUUGUGAGACUGAUUUAACAAGUCAAGGUGUUUUUGAGCUUGUUGAUUAUUCGGUUUAAAUAAACAUAAAUUCUUUAAAAGAAUUCUAAUAAAAUAUGUAUAUUUGUAGAUAUACUCUAUAAACAUAUAUUUUUGUGUUACAAUUUUUGACGUAGGUUUUGCAUUUACAUUGUUAUACAAAUAUGCGCGUGUUACUUACAUAUAGCAUCUCCACAAACCAAAUUCACUUAUAUAUUAUCACUUAAUGUAAAUAACACACAACAACGAUAAACAUCCGUAGAGUACAUUUUCACAUAGAGCUGUAAUUAAUACAAUUAUCAUCAAAUAAUAUAUAUAUAUACACGCCAAUAAUUUGCAUGAAACCGUUAACUCCGAAGUCUCUCAUGCCGAGUUGCAUAGUAGAAAGACUGUAAAACAACGGAAACAACAGCAGGACACUUCACAACUGCCAAGACAAUACCACUUAGGUUAAUUGUAAGCUUUUUUACAAUUUUAUGUAUGGAAUAUGAUAUUGUACUAAUUAAAAAGUAACGUAUAUCUUCUAAAACACUAGAAAUAGAGAAGUUUUAGUUUAGCUACGUACGAAACAAUUUGAAUUUUGUUUGGUUGUUCAGUUGGAAAAGAAAAAUAUUGAGCUGAAAACUAUGAAGUUGGAUUUUAUUCUAAAAAAUAUAAGGGCUUUUUUCAAAAUCAACCUAAAAUUUGGAGUCAAUUCCAAAACCAACCUCUUUUUUUUUGUCAUUACUAUUCAUCCUUGAAAGUUCCAAAUCCUCCUUAUGUUUUUCAAUUAUUUACCAAAGUGCCAUUAUUAAAUAAUUAUUUAAUAAUUUUGAAAAUGAGAAAAAACCUAUUACACCCUAAACAUUUCUUCUUAUUUACAACAAUACCAUUAUCAUCAAUUUUCCAACCACCAUAAACCACCAUUUUUGAGCUCUUAAAACCUCAAGAAUUCAAUUUGUAACCACUUUUUUCUCUUUCUAAACUAACAAAUCUUCAUUUUCUCUCAUUUCCUCUUCAUUUUCAUCUGAAAAUCUUUCAUAACUUCCAUUUUUGUAAUCUAAACUUUCAUAUUUUCGAGUUUAUUCAGUGGUUAGUCGAAAAAGGUGGUUCUUUUUGGUCAUAUUUGGAGCUUGGACGGUGGUAAAUGGUGGAAACGAGCUUUACACAAAAAAAAAGAUAACUAUUUACUGGGUUUUUGUCAUUUUUCAUAUCUGUGUCGCGAUAGUAGACUGUUUUGUAUGUCUACUCUUAUGUGUAGACGUACGAUGCGAUCUAUUGUUCAACGCACAGGUUACUUUUGCAAUUGACCAAAAUAAUUUUUUUUGUAUAGUAGACUUCCUUAGAAGUCUGCAUCUUAACCUUUGAAAACAAAAACAAAAAAGUAGGUAGACUUACUAAGAAGUUUACGUAAAGAGGUUAGUUUUUGCAUUUGGCCAAACUCUAUGCAACUUUUGACUUUUCAUAGUAGACUUCACGAGAAGUCUACAUUAUGUAGACUGCUAUGAAAGUCCACAAAAAGUCAAUUUUGCAUUUGACCAAAACUUUAACUCCGUUGAAUAGGUUAGUUUUGUAUUUGACUAAAAGAUUAUAUAGUUGACCGAAUCAAAAAAUAGUGUAGACUUCAUAUUCAGUCUACUAUUCUCAGGAAAAAAAAACGUAGAUUGCAUAUGAAGUCUACUUUUUUAUUUUGGUCAAAUGCAAAACUAACCUUUCGAAUUUGGGGUAGACUUCAGUUGAAGUCUACACAUGUGUAGACGUUCAUAUCAAUCUAUUUGUACAAAGUCAAAUUUGGUCAAUUGCAAAAACUAACCUGUUUUAAAAAAUUAAAAAAUGUAGACUGUAAAUGAAGUCUCCUUUGGAAAAUCAAAUUCUGGUUGAAUUCUGGUCAAUUGCAAAAACUAACCUUUUCAAAAUGUAGACUGAAAAUAAAGUCUACUCAUAUAAAAUCAUAACUUUUUUUUUAAAUACAAAUGAUAACCCAUGGAUUUUUCAAUUGCAAAAACUAACCCUAAUUAUAGACUAACUUGACAGUCUACAAACGUAAACUGAAAAAACAGUCUAUUAUUAUGUAGACGGAUUAUAAAGUCUACAUAGAAAAAUCUAUAAAAGAUGGAUUUGUGUAUUAUUCGUAAUGUAUUUUCAAGAUUUUUUAGUUUGACAGUAUGCGUUAGUUAAUCCUAAUGGUCUUGAGGUAUUUUGAAAAUAUAAUCUUUUAUAAUUAUUAAAUUACCAACAUUUUGAUUUUACUAUCUAGUUAGCUAAUAAGUGUAGAUGUCUUUAUAAGUCUACUUUAUAAUUUCAAAAGUGAAAAGAGAAUACUUGUUGUGGUUGAAGAAUGUUAGUUUAUGGAAGAGUGAUAUGUAAGAUCAUUUCUACGUACCUUGAGAAAAAAAUCAGAAAUAUUAGAAUGGGACUCUCUUAUGUUGAUUAUUAGUAUUUAUGUGUUUUUAUUUACUCCUUACCGCACAUAAUUUUACAAUAGAGAUAGACAAGUGUGAAACUUAUAAACUUAUAUUGAAUUUGUGGUCUUGAGUCAGUAUUAUGUGCCAUGUUUUAUUGCUUUUAAGUUGUGUUACGUGAUGACAUUUUGUUGAACUGUGAGUCUUAACUUUGAUGUAUUCAUUUGGAGUUGUAUUAAACAAGUCUACUUUCGGUCGAGUACACUUCAGUACAGAAUAUCCAAGAAAAUUACAUAAUACAGCAGUGAUACAAAAGCACAAUACAAUAUAGCUAGUACAAAGGCAUAUAAUACAAACACCUAUUACCAAAAACUUCAUAUCCUCCAAUUCUAGCCAAAAAAUGGUUGCACAAUCAGGGCAGUUGAAGCGGCCACAAAGAGUGCAAUCAACGAUAGAACAUAGACUUGGCCAAUGAAUGUGGCCAUGGCUUAAAAUACAAGAACUCCAUAGACAUACUGAUGCUGCAAAAUUAAACAGAGGAGAGUUGACUUUUAAUACACACUCAUGGAUCUAUAAAAGCUAUGUCUAUCUAGAAAACAUAAGUUCGGUAAUCUAAAAAUCAAUUUGCAUUAAUAAAAGACAAAAAUUAGAAACCUGCAAUGUCCGUAACAGUUGGUUGUGAUACAGUAUUGACAGUGGAUACAAAGCUUCCGCCUUCUUGCAAUUUUCUCGUCUCAGAGAGUUUCAAGAUCGCUAUUGAAGUCUACAACCGGUGGAGAAUCUCUCUUAAACGCCUGUUAAACAAACAAAUAAACAAAGUAAGACUCAAAUCUUUUUUUGCUCUUAUGAUUAACAGAAUUAAAAGUGGGACCAACCUAGACCGAGCCAUGCCAGGACUGUAGGUCAGUCCUCUAAAGUGAAAGUCCCAGCCUGAUAACCGAUAGGCACCUCACUUGCCAGCAAGCUGUCAAUGCCGGUUAUGGCAGAAGAAUCAUCACUACUCUAGCUAGAUUGCUUAUAGCCUACUCAUGAUUUCUCUUGAAAAGAGUAGAGAAGUUGAACCUGCAAGGAAAAAUCAGACUAGAAAUGUCAAGGGAAAACUCCAAGGAUUAACUAUCAAGUUCAGUGAAUAUUACGAGCUGAAGUUACAAUAUUGUUGUGAUUAGUUGUUUUGAGGUGGCCCUCUUCUUUCUCAAGCCCUUCAAAAGCUGCAAAAAAACAACCACUCGAACUUAAACCAGGCCCUUACGGGUAAAACAAAACUGAACUCUGAGAUUUAUCGAAUCAGUUUGUACAUUCACACAAGACAUGAACCAGAUAAAGAGAAAAUUACCUCAACAGUUGGAUAGAGAGACAUACAUACACAAUGUUCCUUCGCCGGCUCAGAUCUGAAAAAAAAAGCAAAAAGUUACUUAACAACGGCACGACUACGACACGACUCUGACAACGACGACGAGACACGACAUCGACAAAGACUUCAACAAAGACCAAAAUCUGUGAAUCAACAUGAAACAGAACAAAUCGAAGACUACUACCUUACAGAGGGAAGAUAUAGCAGCAGCAGCGGGACGGCAACCAGUGUAAGCGGCAGAAACGGGUUGACUUCACCGGAAAUCGCCCGAGAGAGAGAGAGAGAGAGAGAGUAACGGCCGCUAGGGUUUGUCUUUUUUUACCAAAUGAAGACUAAAAAUUGUAUUUAUAUGUCGGGAAAGUUAUCCGGUUAGGUUAAAACUUUUCUGGUUUAAUACUUGUUAGAUUAUAUUAUUUUGGUUAAAUUAAAUUGUUUCCGGUUCCGUAGACACACAAGUAGGUCUACAAUCGGUAUGUCUAUUACAAUUUUUUAUAUAUAUAUUUAUAUAUUUAUAUAAAUUAUUUUUUGUUCUUUAUUUAUAUAUAUAAUUUAUUUAUUUUUUCUUUAUUUUUAUAAUAAGUUUAAUAUAUGAUAUCAUUUCCGUUUCCAUAAAAACAAAAUUUAAUCAAUCUUUUUUGUAAUUUCAGGUCUUAUUAAACUAAAAAAGACGUCUACUAUACCCUAAAUUAAUCAAUUGUAUCCUAGUAGACCAAAAAGACGUCUACUAUACCCUAAAUUUAAUUUAAAAUUUAAGAUUUUUUGUAAAUACCAAUAAAAUAGACUGAAAAGGACGUCUACAGAUAAAUAGACUUUAUUGUAGGUCUACGAAACCCUAAACCCUAAACCACAAAUCUCAAACGCUAAAUGUUUUGCUUGAUAAUCAAAAAGUCUCAAUUGUACAAAAUAUAAACUACUAAACAUUACUAUGCAGAUUUAAGAUAACAAAACAAUAAAAAAAACAAAAUCUAAAAUCCAACCCUAUGAAAUCAACUACUAAAAGACAUAACAUGUAAGAACAUUUUGUUUCUAAACUAUGAACAUUGUCUAACACAUGAUAACCAAAUUAGUAUAUAUUCUUCAAAAUUGUUCAAUUAUAUGAAAUUUUAAUUUAUUUAGUUCAUAUUAUCCAUUAUAUUGAUGAUUAGUUAAAAAUAUCACAAUAAUUAUUUUUAUACAUUUUCAAAAUUAAAUUAUUAGAUCAAAUUAGAGUGUAGACUACAAAAUAAGUCUAUAAGGUAGACAUCGUAGGAAAUCUAUAUAUAUGUAGACUUCUUUUAUUACGUGUAGACUUCCGAAGGAUAGAAACGUAAAAUACAUUUCUGUUUUUUUGUUUGGUCAUAAGGGUUAACUAGUAUUUUCACUACCCUUUUAGGUUUGUUUUGCAUUUGACUGAAAGUGGGGUACACUUUUAGAUUUGACUUGAAUAUUUGGGUUGUUUUUAGCAAAUGUCCCAAAAUAUAAGUAGGUGAAAAUUAAGCAAUCUUUUAACACCUACUUUUAAUCCCAUCUAACAUGUUGAAAUGAAAUCUAUAAAAAUGUCUGAUGAGUUAAACAUUUUAAAACCCAAACAGAAUAGAGAAAGCACAUCUCUAAAAUCUACACAAACAGACCAUUAAAACAAAAACAUUUUGAGGCUGUGCGAAUAUUCUGCAAAGAAUAACGUAUAAAUAGAAACAACUAAUCAAUAUAUAUAAGUCGCACAAAAAAACACUAAUCAAUGGGUGUAAUUGGUUGGACUGUAACUGUUAAAAAAUUAUUGUAGAAUUUGUACUGUAAGUGUAUUGGCUGUAGUUGUACAUUUACUAAAAUAUAUUUUUCUGCGAAGAUUUUUGUUGUAGUUAUCAUAACUGUAGCUGUAAAUUAUUGGUUGUACUUUUGUAAAACAAAACAUAAUUGGAUAAAACGGUUAUAGCUGUAAAAAAACUUUUCUGUUAAUUUAAGAAUAUAACAAUUUAUAAAAUUUAUCCAAAAUAAAGAAAACCAUCUAAAAUUAAAAAAAAUAGUCAAAAGAAAACCACCAUUUAAAUAAUAAUAAAUUUUAUCUACGAGAAUUCCAUAAAACAAGUGUUACGUUAGGGUUUUCCUUUCUUAUGUUAUCUAUUGAUUUUUCCUUUUUGUUUUUAGUUGAUAGUUUAUAUUCUUAAGUUUAUCUAACUUUAAAUUAUUAGUUUAUGAUCAAGGAUUAUCAUGAUUCGAAUAUACUAAAGAUUUGAAUAUACUAUAUGCAUACCUCGUAUGUUGAUGAAAAAGAUUACAUGGUUUUUUUCAGUUAUGAGUUUAUUUUUUUUACAGCCCAAAUAAUAAGGAUGUAGGAUUUUUGGGUAAAACAAAUAGAAAAGUUAAAGUUUUAUUUUUUUUAUUGUAUCAUAAAAACAUAAAGCUACAAUUUGAUUGACAAAAAUUUAUGAAAUUUUGCUUUAGACUUUAACUUAGAAAAUAAAGCUAAAGCAUGAUUGGUUAGGAUUGGUGUUUUAAGAAAAAUUAAAGCUAAAGUACUAAGUGAAAGUCCAACCAAUCAUCACCAAUAUAUAUAUAUAUAUAUAUAUAUAUAUAUAUAUAAAGCAUUUUUUUGUAGGAAUGAAGAAAGUGAAUUGAAAUAUAUAUACCAUGUUUUCCAAGAACACCCAUCAUCAUCGCCUUUGGACUUCGUAUCCACUGCGUCUACCACAGGAUCACCACCAGCGACAUCUCUAGCCGGAUAACCAAUUGGCGGCGGAAUUGUGUACGGCCCAUGUGAAAUGUUUUCCACUACGACUAAAAUAGAUUACUAAAUUAUAUAACUGAUCAGCUGGUGGAUAUAUUCUUAAUAUUAGUACCUGAAAACCCUGUUGGAUAUAUAGAUAUCGAACAUGAAUUUAAAUUAAGACUUAACUGAAUAAUUAGGAGGAUUACCUGAAGAUUGAUUCAUUCGGACUUAAUAAUUAGUGAGGAGAUAAAGAUUAUGAUGAGGAGAGAAUGUCGUUGUUUUAAUAUCAAAGAAGACGAGUAUUCUGCGUGGUUUUAUAGAGAUUAUGACUUUAACUGAUGACCGAGUAGUGAUGACCAAGUAAAGAGUAGGGAAAAAAGGGAGGGGAAAAUCGUAUUUUAAACUUUGAGAGUGUUUAAAAUAUCACAUUCUCGCACUUUAAACACUAAACUUCUUUUAUUAACACUUUAAACCUUGAAAGUGAUUUUUUAUCAUAACAAACCACCGAUGAGGUGUACUUAUUCUUUAAGUCAAUUAGGUGACAUGUACUGUUUAUUACCUGCUGACAUGUCGUUUUUAAAAAAUAAAAAAAUACAUAAAAAUUCGAAAAAAUAAAAAAUUUAAAAAAUGGAAACAAUUCAAAACAAAUCUAAAAAUUGAAGAAAUAUGAAAAUUAAAAUUUCAAAAUUAAAAAUAAAAUAUAGAAAAAGAAGAUACAAAUUAUUUUUUGUAAUGUUUACAUAUUUGUUAAGAGAUAUAUUGGUAUUAUUUAUUAAAUUGAUAUUUAUUUUAGUGAUAUUAAGUUAAAAAAAAUUAACUUAUAAGUGAAAUUCUUAAAAAAUAGUAAAUAACUUUAAAAUUAAAUAAAUUACAAAUUAAACUUUAGAGAAACUAAAAUAUACGUUACUUAUUUAAGAAGUUCCACUCACACCAAAACCUAGAGGCAUACCUCUAUAUCUCUUAAUUAUAUUUCAAACUAACUUACAAUAUUUUAGUUAAGAUCAAAAUCAUUUUAAGUGGUUUAUGAGAUUUUUUCUAGUUUCACAAAAAAGUUAAUAAGUUAAGUAUUGAUAAGUCAAAGAUAAAAAAAGGAUAAAAACCAAAAACCAGAAUCUAUAAUCACCAUUCAAGUUAUUAUAUAUAUAUAUAGGUUUAUAAUUGGAUUAAAUUUCAAAAAUAUCUUAUUUUAUUUUAAAUUUUGAAGUUUUCAGAUUUUUUGAUUUUUUUUUUGAAUUUUUCCAUUUUUUUUUAAAUUUUCAACUUUUUAUUUAUUUUAUUAUUUAUUUAUUUUUAAAGAGAAAACCGACACGGCAACAUGAAAUGAACAUUACAUAUCAUUUAAUUAACUUGAAGAACAAGUAAACCUCAUUGAAGGUUUGUUAUGAUAAGAAAUAUCAUUUUAAAGGUUUAAAGUGCUAAUAAAAAAAAGUUCAGUGUUUAAAGUGCAAGAACAUGAUACUUCAGGGUUUAAAAUGUGAUUUUCCCGGGAAAAAAAGUGAGAGUGAAAAUAGUAAAUUCAUUUUCAUUCCUUAAAAUUUACACCAUAUAUAUAUAAUAUUAGGUAAAGAUUCUUGCAAUUGCACAUAAUGAGUAUUGUGUAUAUAAAUUAUUUUUAUGUACUAUUUCUAAUUUUAUUUUUUUACGUAAUAUGAAAUAAUAAAUAUAUAUUAAAUAAUUAAAAAUUAUUAAUUAUUACAUAUAUACUUAAAUUGGUAUGAAUACAUAAAUCAAAAUAGAAAAAUAUUUAGAAUUUUUCAAAUUUCAAUGGAGGAAAGUUCCUGAACCGAGCUCACUAAAACAUAUUCCAGAAAAGGAAUUUUGCCUAAAGCACACAAGGAAAGGCACCCCGGGAAAAUGGCUGAAUCUGACUCUUAAGAUAGAAGGAGAUUCUCUGACUUUCUUUCUAGUGAUAGAUGUUCUUCCAGUCUUAGUUAGAGGAUAAUAAGUAAGGAAGUAAAGAAAAGGACCGAAACCAAUGAAGUAAGGCUUCCAAUGAACCAAUGAAAAAAAAAUGUAAGGGUUUUUAUCAAAGCUUUCAAAAUCGUUCUUCUCAGUCUGAGAGACUAGCGUUCCUAGAGGUAUCACUCUUAUUCACUUUUUUUUUUUUUGUCAACAAUUUUAUUUUAUAUCCAACUCAAAGCAGAGUACUUGAAAUACAAAGUCUGGGUACAACACCCUUUGCAAAAGCAACAGCUAAACAUAAUGCUGUGCGUAGAUUAUAAACACAUGAUAACAAAAUGAAGAGAGGAACAAGGUUUUUGAAGCUCAAGAAACCUGUAAUCUCAUUCAAGUCCAUCCCUAAGCGCAGGGAAGAGAAGGGGACGAUUGAGUCCGGAAGAAUCUGAAGUCUUGAGAGUCCAGUUGAUAUUGCUGGUUGAGAGGCUUUGUGAAUCAUCACCGCUUUGACGACGUGUCUAGAGCCCACACAUACUCUACUCAAUAAGCGAUGGAGGACACGGCCUUGCAUCCACAUUCCCUUCACCGGGCAAAUCUGAAAGUAACCAAUUGGGAAAGACCCAGCUACAAGCUCAAAGGCGACCAAACACCUCUUUGAAGAGACUGAGAGCUGUGAGGAGAACCACCAUAGCCUAGACACGCCUGAGAUAAGUGAAACCAUGUCCACAGAGACAGCAGUCCAAAUAAAAUCCUCACACUGAGGUAACAAAGUAGUAUCACAACGAGUAACUUCCUCAUACUGAGGUAAAGAGAGCUUCAACCUGAAACUCAAAGGGAGUGUAACAUCCUCAAAAAGAGGUACAGAGCUAAUCCAGGAUAGCAUUACCUCUUCAUUCCGAAUUAAAAUGGGGUUCCUAUUGAGAUAACUAAGAUCUACUAGGAGGCAAGGAUCGAACAAUCGUGACUCACUCCAGCAAAUUAAGAACACCAUACCUUGCGAGAGCUUGAAGCAAGAGAAGAUAUGCCUUGACUGAGAACUGCAUAAAGCAGUAGAGAGCUCCACUUCAAAAUGCUGCAUUGCGGUAUUAAGAGCUGCCAACAGAGAGAAAAUCACCACCAAUAUUUCAACCUUCCAAGCCCAGUCCUCGAGACUUUGAAGAGAUGAGUAAUGAAGGGAAAUCAGCUUGCACUCAGCUAUUGAUACCAAUAAUCUUGCAACAGAUAAGGAAACCACACACGACUCUUGAUGAUAAAUCGUUGAUGCCCUUAAGGCUGACUUUAAAAAAACAUGUUCCACACAAGAGGUAAUAAUUAUCGGCUUUGAAAUGGGAUAAUGUCGAAAGGAGGAGAAACUCAUGCCAGAGUUGAGAGCUCCGGAGGGAGAAAUUCCAGCCAGCAAAAGAUGCAGCAGAGCAGGCUGCGUGGAUAGCACAUCGACGUCUGGGCAGAGAGGCUUGAGCAAGCAACCGGUUGAACAGCAGAGAUCCCAUGGCAUAAGAGAUUCGAUUUCCUUUUGAUUGAGAGGAGCGGUGUAAGACGGCGAGAUCUGGCGGAGAAAGGGACAAACCAGCAGGACCGGUGGAGGGUCUGGAGAAUUUAUCGGGAACACCACGACGAGAUCCGGAUCUGGUGGUUCAGGCGGCAGGGGAGGAGAACCAAACGGGACAGUUGCAGAGGAACCCAUUGGAGGAGAAGAGGGAGAGCUUCGGGAUGGUGAGCGAAACGUCAUCAUCAGCGGAAGAGAGGCUCGUGAUUAGGACAGGAGGAGCUGCACCGGAAAGAGACCUUCAUUGUGGCGGAGAUGCAAGCUGUGCGGCUGCCUUGGACUCCGUGCCUGAGAGAGAAACAGCUACUAAAACAUACAAAGAUGAUGACUAACCGUUAUAAGCAUCAUUUAUCUCUAUGAAUCUCUCUUUAGCUGCAGUAUCGCCUUUGUGCUUAUAUAUCACUCUUAUUCACUUACAAUCAUUUUUUGGUAAAUAAAUUUAAACAAUCAUUUUAUCUAUUGUAUAUGGUAUAUAAUUAAAUUCAAAUGAUAUUAACAUAAAUAUAUAAUAUUUUUUUUAAUAUGGCAAUCUAUUAAUGAAAUUUCCUACUCAUAUGAUUUUAUGAUCAUUUGUAUUUUUUUUGUAAAAAACAUUAAACCGUUUAUAAAGAAAUAUGUAAUGUGGGAAUUUUAAUAUUUUUAGUAAUUUAUAAUCAUUUUCAGAAACUCAAUGCAAUUUUUGAAAUUAAAAUAUUAAGUCUUCAAUACUUGUUCAGUGCAAAUUUUGAAAUUAAAUAUUUUAUAUGGUAUAUAGUUCAAUUUAAUCAUUAUUAAAAAAUAUAUAUUUUUAAUCUUAAUAUUUAUUAAAUAAGACUUCUAACUCAGAUAUUUUUAUGAUCAUUUAUAUCUUGUGAUAACAAAAUAUUAAAUCGUUUAUCACAAAAAAAUUAGUGUGAGACUUCUAACAAUUUUAGUAAAUUGUAGUCUUUUUUCAAAAUUCUAAAUAUAAGAUAUUCAAAAAAGCCUAUGUGAUUAAUGUGAUUCCUUAAUUUGUUUUAAUAAUAUAAAAUUAAAAAAUGAUAGAAGAUGUAUAAGUUGUUAUCAACUAUUAUUCAAAUUCAUUAAUUAUUAUAUAUAUUUUUUAAUCACAUUAGGUAAUUCUUUAGAUUUUAUUUAAGGAAAUAAUCAAAAAACAAAAUUGCACAUUAAUAAUUAAUUUAUUGUUAGUUUAAUAAAAAUCUAAUAUAUUUUUAGAUGGAACAACAAAUUUUUUAAGAGUUCUAAGAAUCAUUAUAGCGAUGAUACGUGUCAUAGACUCAUAACUUAAAUGUUGUAAUGUUUUUCAAAUAAUACACAUAAAAGACUGGUUACUUGUGAUUUUUUAACAUUCCUUUACAUUUAAGGAUUAAUAGACUAAAUUUAGUCCUUAUCAAAUUCAGGGAUGAACGUAAGAAAUACAAUGUCCAAAAACUACUUUUAAAUACCAUUCCAUUUCCCAUGGUAUUAAUAAAACAAUAGUGACCGGGCUAUCUAUUAUAAUAGCCCUUAAAAUAGUGGCCACUAUUUUUUUAUUAAUACCAUAGGAAAUGAUAUUUAGAAGUCAUUUUUGGAUAUUGUAUUUUGAAAGAUAUAUUUUAUAAGAUUGUUAAGAUUUAUUCUUAAAAACAAAUUCAGAAAGAUAUAUUUUAAAAGCUUUUGAAAGACAUCUUAUAGUGUAUGGCAAGUAGUCAUUGACAUCUUAUAGUGUAUGGCAAGUAGUCAUUGUUAUUUUAUUUUAUUUAAUUGUAGUAUAUAGCCAUAUAGGGCAAGUAGUCGUUUACUAGUUUUGGUCAAACACCAACCUUUGAAUGCGUCGCCAAAUUAAUAUAUAAUAAUCAAACACAAAUCACAUAUUAAUGGAAUAAAUUAUUACCAUCACUGAUCAUUUUGUUAUUUUUAGUGAUUGCUUACUAUAUCAACUCUUCUUUAACUAAAAAAUAAAUUAUACUUCAUCCACCUUAAAAUAUAAAGUAUUUAUGAAUUCCUUUGAUAUUUUAAAAUGUAGAUUUCACUUAUAUAUUUAUAUAAAUUUUGAUUUUAUCAAAAUUGUAUGACCAAUUUUAUUUUACAAGCUGUUUUACACUUGAUUGAAUUGUUUUUUAUUUAUAUUUAAUGAUAUUUUCAGAUAAAUAACCUUUUUAGUAUUUAUGUUUUUUUUUAUCUUAAACAUGAUACAGUAUAAUUCUGCCAGCAUUUUUAAAUGGAUUGCAAAGACCUAAUUUUAAUGAUUCAAGAAUCUACAAUUGGCCAAAUUUUCAACAGAAUUGAAGAAUUUAACUGUUUCAAAAGGAUUCCAAAAAUUAAGAUUAUCUACCAUCCUCAAGUGCAAAAUAAGACUAUAAAUUUAUUAGGUAAGAUAGCACAUGAUUUUCGUAGAUAAUUUUUUUAGUUAGUUGUUUUGUUCUAAUUUAGUUUCCAAAGCCACUUUUAUUUUAUUUCGACUAAUAGAAUUUUUUUGAUGUAAAAAAUAGAAGAAAUGUAUAUAUAUAUUUUGGAAGUGAAACUAUGCCACUAAAAGUUUGUGAACAUUGAAAGUGCGAGUUUUCAAUUUUUGAAUUUAUAAUACAAACUUCACAUUUAAAUAUUUCAAACAAACCAAUGUCGAGACAUAACAGUUGCAGUAUAUCUUAAUGCAUGUUGAGAUGUUAAGUGUAGCUUACUACGUAGCCUGUCUUUCUAAUAAGGGCGGAGGCAAAUGACGUCAGAGAGGUGGCGAUUAUCGGCGUACGUCAUAUAGAUUUAUGAUAAUUUGUAUUUUGCUAUAACAAAAAAAAUUAAAUUUUGAUUAAAAAAAUUUCUGUGUGAGAUUUUGACUGUUUUGUAAUUUGUAUUUAAGUGUGUUUAUAUAAAAAGUUAAUAUUGUACAAGUGAGGACAAAAUUCGAAACAAUAUCAUCUUAAAAGUUAAUUUUGAGUUUCCCAAAAUUAACACAACUAUCACAUGGGAGGUGAAACCCAUGCACGAGCGAACAAACGUGGAAAGACCAUUAACGCAUAGACUUUCGGGAGUUGCAUACGUUUUCAGAUAAGGCAUUGAAUGGUAUGAGCCGCAAAACUGUGUUACUCAAACUUAUUUGUUUUUAUUCAUUUCUAUCGCAACCAGAUGAACUUUACCUAGGCUAAGAAUAGAUCAACUAUUAAAUUUUGGAUGGAAAUUUCUUUUACCGAUUUCCCUUGGUAAUCUAUUAUUAACAACUUCUUUCCAAAGCAGCCGCUGGGGGCAGAUUUUUUCUAGAUCGCAAGAUUUCCCACAUAUCAAAACCCUAGUUUUAACAAACCUGCUGGUUGUUUACACUGGUUCAACUUUUAUCUCCACUCCGGUUCAGAUUAUUAUAUUUUUUUUAGAAAGUUCUUGAAGGCUAGUGUCUUAUCAGAGCCGGCUCUUAGCUAUGGCAACAUGGGGAUUUACCAUGGGUCCAAAAAAAUUUGUGUUGUUUUAAAGAUCUAUUUCAAUAUGUUAAAUUAUAAAAAAAACUCAUAAUUAAGUAAACUUAAUUUAUUUAUCACAAAACAAAACAAUAAGAAAUAUGUAUAUUCACCAUUAAUUUUGGGAUAUUUUUUUCUUUUUGUUUCAAAUAAUGUUUUGAAAACCGGACCGGACGUUGACUCGCCAUUGUAACUGGGUCAAUGGUCGGGCCGGUCUAACCGGUUCAACUAGAUUUUAAAUUUUAAUUAAAUUUUAUAUUAAGUAACUAUUAUAUGUAUAACAUAAAAUUAUUUUUAUAAAAUUUUAUAUAAUUGUUACAAUCUACAAAAAUGAUAUGAAAACAAAAAGAUUUUUUUUAAAAAUAAUAUAAAAUAAUGAAAAUAAUUUAUUUAGAUAGAUACUUAGAAAACAAUAUGAAAUUUUUAUGAAAUAUUUUUAAAAUUUUCUGUUUUUAAAAAAUACUUAAAUUUGAAAAAAAAAAAAACAGAGCUUUAAUAUCGAACCAGAUCACCGGUUUUAGCAAGUUUUACUGGUUUUGACCGGGUUUGCCGGUUUAACUCAAAACCAGUGUUUAGUAUAACCCGGAACCAGAUAGAUGGUCGAAUCUCGGUCCGACAGAUCCAACCAGCCGGUCUGGUCCAGCCAGCCGAUCCGGUCAAUUUUCAAAACACUGGUUUCAAGUCUUAGAGUUCAAGUUAAAAGAAAUACAGUGAAGAAAAAUAUAAAGAAUAUUUAUAAAAAGGUACAUAUUUUAUGUUUUGCCCAUGACUAUUAUAUUGUUUAAACGGCACUGUGUGUUAUCACUUAUCAGACCAGUUGUUGAAAUGUAAGUACAUAGUGGAAGUUCGUGGCGAGAAUGCAGUUUUGGAGAGAAGGAGGUUGAAAAUGGAUUGAAGAAAGUUAUGGAGGAUCAAGAGAUGAGUAAGAGAUUGAAGAAGUUGAGAGAUUAAAAAAUGGUGGAUGAAGCUCGUUUGUAUGACAAACUGUUAACCUCUUUCAAGGAGAGCUUAAAGAGAAGUGCAUUCAAAUAUUCAAAUUAAUCUAACGUUUUCUGUUACUUAUUUCACUCAACCACUGGACUAUAUCACUACAUCAUAGAGUUACCUUAGUGGGCCUGUGGUAAAAGCCUUUUCAAAAAUACAUGGUGGGUGUAUCCACGGCCCAGAAUCCUAACUGAAAAUUAGUUAAAAACUAUCAACUGAAAAAUACAAACUCAAUUUUAGGGAUUACGUUUCUGGGUAGUGAUGAACAUUUUUCAAUAUUGAUUGUGUAAAAUUGAGUUUUAAUCGUUUAGUGACUGAUCUUCGGUCUGGGUUUAUGUAAUCUUGUGCGAUUGAUUGGGAAGGUAUCAACCUUUGGAUCUGAUUGCUUAAUCGUUUCUCAAGAUUAAAGCUUUUCGUUUUGGGGAUUUAAAGAUAUGUUUUUUUUUUUGCAAUUGGAGAACUUAAAGAGAUACACUUUGUCUAGUUUGUAAUUAGUAUAGAAUCCAAUCACCAUGGGUGAACACAAUAGGAAUCCAUUUGCAAUUGCAAGUGCAAGUGGAAGCGCAGGGGGAGGAAGUACAAGUGCCAGCUCAGACUCCAGUUUUAGUAACAGUGUGGCGGAUACGGAUGAUGAUCAAACCAUUGCACGUAUGUUAGCUGAAGAUGAGAGCUUGAGAUCAGAAGGCAAGCUUGGGAGGAAGCUCUCUCAUUUGGGUUCUAUCCCUGUAAUGAUAAGCUUCUAUUUUUACCUAUUAGCAUGAUGAAUGUGUGUUUGGUGGGCUGUUCAUAGUUUAUGUCAGUAUUAUCUACUAAUGAAAUCCUUUGAUGUCUUACUCCUACACUUUGCUUUCGUAUUUGGCAGCAUACUCCUCGGGUUAACAGGCUAAUACCUGACAUAAAUGAUGCAACAUUAGACCAUGAGCUGCUCUCUGGGAGGUUCUUGUUCUUCUUAUCAACCUUCCUUUCAGUGUUUUCAUCUCCUUGAAUGCAUUCUUCAUUUGUGGAAUGAUAAACUAGUCGGUUUUGUAACUUUCCUCCUGGAUUAUGUUUGAUGGUUUAUCCUUUAUUCAGGUUGGCCACAUAUGGGUUAGCUGAAUUACAAAUGGAGGGGGAUGGCAAUUGCCAGGUACGUUGGAAGGAACAUCCAUACACCUUGUUUUAGAAAUUUCCACAAAAAAAAUUGUACUGAUUUGAUCUAUCAUAUGUUGUUUGCCAGUUCCGAGCUCUAGCAGACCAGCUUUUUCGCAAUGCAGAUUACCAUAAACAUGUAAGGAAGCAUGUUGUAAAACAGGUACUGUCUGAGAGCCAUAAUGCAACUUCUGUCUCUUGUUCUCAAAUUUUAGUGCCAGUGCCUUCAGGGACGAGUAGUUAUUGUAUGUAUUUGCAUUAAUUAUAGACUAUUGCUUCUUCAUCCCUCAAGCUGUGUUUUCCUCUCUCUCUCCAAUUAUUCUGACUCAGUGCAUUUUCUUCAGUUGAAACGGCAACGCAAGUUAUACGAAGAAUAUGUGCCAAUGAAAUACAGACACUACAGAAGAAAGAUGAAAAAGUGAGACAUCUUUGUUUUUGUUUUUUUUUUUUAUAUCUGGAUCAGCGAGAUGGAUACAAGCUCUUCUCUGAUUCAUUCUUUUUACUAAUAAAUCUUAGACCGGGUGAAUGGGGAGAUCACGUUACUCUUCAAGCUGCUGCAGAUCGUGUAAGUUCUUUUAAAAAACUGCAUAUCAUGUUUUGAGUUUACUAUAAGACCAGAGCAGAUUAUAAAUACACCUCAGAGAUUAUAUCUUCUCUUAUAUCUUGUGGGAAUCAUUGCAACUUUCACAUUUUUCUCGCUCACAUUGUGUUCCUUUUCUUCACUUGAAUGAAUGGCUGAUGACUCAGCGUUACUGUAGUUCGAAGCCAAGAUCUGCUUAGUCACAUCAUUUCGGGAACAAUCCUACAUUGAGAUUCUUCCCCAUAACAAGAACCCUCUUAGAGGUUCCAACUAUCUCUAUGCUAUCCACUCUCUUAGCUAACUUUACUCAGGUCCUAAAUUAAUCGUUUUACUGUUCUGCAGUGGCUUGGCUUAGCUACUGGAGCGAAGUGCAUUACAAUUCGCUUUACUCUAUUGGAGGUAAAAAAACAAAACUCAAGUCUCCUUCCAUCAUCUCUAUUUUACUUGAUCUUGAUCUUCAGUAGUUCUUGAUCUUUCAUCAGAUGUUCCCACAAGAAAACCCAAGAAGAAGCAUUGGCUCUUCUAGGAUUGAAUCCAGAUUCAUGUAUACCAUAUAUGUAUGUAUAGGAUCUUCCUCAGAUUGUGUGUGAACUUUGUUGAUAGCCUCACUCUGUUACAUACUUGCAUGCUUUAUCGUUGGUUCUCUCAAGACUUUCACAGUAAGGGACCGAGUGGAUCCUAUAUAUUUUUACUUGUAAUCAUUUGAUCUUGAAAUAUCUUUUCGUAAGUUUUACUUGAACAUUCUGAUUUGUGAUUCAUAACGAAAAUACAACUAACAAACAGCCAAUAGUUUUCAUAGUUUAAAUAAGCGGACCAUAGUGAGAGAUACUUGAACGGACCGGAUGUAAUACUUUCACGUGGACCAAAUAACGUGUCGAAUAGUUGAUAUAAUUUGGUAUGUUCCUAUAUUUAAAGUCUAAUUCAUUCAAUUUUUUUUUUUAAAUAUAUAUAUAUGGUUGAGUUUCAAGCAAGCAAGUAAAGCAAUGACCCUUAAAUCACAAGAACAAAAAUAUCAGUGGGAUCGGCACAGAAAGCAGCAUAUGCUUUGAGUUAGUGAAGCAUCAUUAUUUAUACGGAAAAACCAAAGUGAUAAGUCAUAAGUGCUCCUGUCGGAUUGGGUCCGGAUAAUGCAAUAUUUCAUGUGUUGAUGUUAGAUUAAUAUUCUAAAAUGAAAUGAUGUUAAAGAUGGUGACACUCAUCCACCCGAUAAAAAGAUUGUUACGUAAUUCUGAUAAUUCAUAAAUUCUUCAAUUUUCCUCCGCUUUAGCCAAAUCAAAAUCAGUUGGAAAACUAACAUUUUCUAUGUCCCAAUACCGUGACAUAGAUCAUGACAUACCGUGAUAGUCUAAUAUCCCAACCUACAAGAAAUGUGAAUGAUCUUUAGAGUUCUCAAUUAAUGCUUAUCGAUUGAAAAGAUGUAGAAGUUCUAACUAAUCGAUGAUUGGCAAAAUCACUACGAAAAUAUCAAGAUAUUAGCUUGUUGGAUUGCCAGAAAUAAAGUUUAGAUAGAAGUUGUGUUUGGCGUUAAGAUAUAUGAGAAAUAUGCUAAGAUAGUAGCUUGUUUGAGCCUUGUACGGUUGUACCGUUUUAUAUUUUUCUUUAUGUGAUUUUUUUGACAUCAAAAGUAUUGCCAUUAUUUUUUAAUUACAAUGUUUGUUUUUUUUCAUGCUUCAUUUUAGGCAAUAAAAGGAUAAAUUAAUAUUUGUCUAUGUAAGACCAAAUUCAGAUUAUUGUAAACUAUAUUUUUUGUAUAUCAUUCAACUAUGUAUUUUCCUCAUCGUUCAACUAUGUGUGUUCUUUAUUUGGUGUGAUGUAAUUUUUUCUUCUUCUAUGUUUUCUUUUCUUUAAUAUCUUUUUGAAACUUCUAAUAAUGUCAAUCAACUUUCUAAGUAAAUUUUUUUUUAUGGUAAGACGAAUACAAGUGUCUCAUUUUAAUUAGUUUUUAAAUAAAUGGUACUAAAUCAAAUUGUGAUGUUUUCUUACAUGUAUAAAUUGACUAUCAGAUGUUAUGUGUUUUAUUUUAAUAAAAACUGUAGAAAGUGUCUUCUGCUGUUUAGACUCGAUGACAAAGUAGAAGAAAUAUAAUUGAAUGACGACCGAGACAAAAUUUAUAAUAAAUUAUGUGGUUUUGUGUUUGAGAAAUUACGGUUUAAAAUAUGUUUUAGUAAACCAUUUUUCUCAAAGAUGCAUUUUCGUAAUAAUCUCUAUAUGGAAAUCAAAAUUUAAGAAAAACAAUUUAAAAAAAAAAUUAAAUUAAAAUCUUGAGAUAUUUUUUAAUGUGGUGGCACAAACGAAUCUUUGAGAUAAUAUUUAGCAAACAAACAAAUGAUAUUUGAUCACCUACUUCUAAAUUUCAUAACAAUCCAAAAAUUCUCUUUAUUUUUACAUAUAAUAAUAUUUUCAGCUUUUUAUAUGAAAUAUUAGUUUACGUACAGUUAGGUUUGUAAUAGAUAUUUACUGAAGUAAAAUAAAAUGUAAAAAUAAAAAUAUUAAAAAGAAAAAAGAAAAAAGAAACUAAAUGUAGAUUGUAGAUGUUGUUUGGCAAUGUCAUUAUGUGUCUAUGUAAGAAGACACGGCGAAGGAAACUGAACAACAAGCAAAGGCUUUUAACUCAACCCUCUUUUUCUUUUUUUCUCCCAUAGAGAUGCCAGUAGAUUAGGGAGAAAAAGGAGGGAAGAAGAUUCUCUCGUCUUUCUUCCUUGUGUCGUCUCCUCCUGUGAUCUCAAAAGUUUCUCUUUUUUCAAAACAUCUCUCUUUGUCUAGUUCUCGAUCAUGGAGACAUCCUAUUCCAGAGACUUGUACAACUUUGCUCGCGCUUCCUCAGGUCACUCCCUUCCCUUCCUUUCUUUUUUAUCUCAUCGAAAGAAUGUCUAUUUUUUACAUUAGCUGAUUCUCGAUCCGGUUUCUUUUAAAUGUACAUUUUCCCUUCUUCUUUUUUGUGUAGCUAAACAGAGUUGUUACCGGACCCAAACACCCUGGAGUUAUUGGUGACAGAGGUUCAGGGUCCUUUUCCAAGAGAGAGUGAGUUCACUUUUUUAACUUGUUCACUACUGUAUCUAUACUGUAUAACCUUUAGGGUUCUUCUUAACCUGAAUGUACUCUUAUCUUUAGGUUCUUCUGCCACCGACUGGUCACACGAUGCAGAGCUCACAAGCUGGUUGGAAGAACGAGACCAAUACGCUAAUAUAUGGUCCUCACAGCCACAUUCAUCUCCUCACUCAUAUGCUCAUUUGUCACAGCAUAUGGUGGCACUCCAACAGAGAAAAUCUUAUGUCCAACUCGCAGCGCUACAGUCUCAACUGUACAGUUCCUACGCGCUUUGCUAGAGGAAGUUGACUCUUCAGCUCGCUGAUCCGUUCAGCAGAACCAAUCAGACUGAUGAUGUUGUUUUUCUUCGUAUAGCUACUCUUCCAAAGGGGAGGAAGAUGCUUACGAAGUAUAUACGGCUUCUAGCUCCAGGUAGUGAGAUCGCUCGAGUUGUAUGUAUGGCUGGCUGUGUUCCGCCACUUGAGAUUCCUAUUCGGCGGUUUGCGUUUAGAUACUAAUCUUGCCAAAGCGGUUACUCUCUGCGUUGGAGCCACGAGCGCUGAGUGCUUGCCUUGCAGCUGUGGUGUUUCAUCAGAGCAGCCACCUCUGCGUCCUAUUGGAAGCUCUGCUGGGGAUGGUGGUUCGGUUGUCUUGAUAUCUCAUCUUGAGAGAGCUGCUGAAGUAGUAGUCGACAGUCGUACAUGAUGGUCUGUGGAGAGCCUCGUUUAAUGAGUUCUUCAACCUUCUGACUAAAUACUGCAGGAGCAAGUAUGAGACGAUCCGCAGUCAGAACCAAGGGAGUGCGGCUGAUGUUUUGGAGGCGGCGAUAAAGAGGGAGAUGCCCGCUGAGCUUUUGCGAGCGAGUCUCCGUCAUGCCAGUGAUGGCCAGAGGAACUAUUUGUUUAACUUUGGUUGUAAACCGUCGGCUGUUAGUGAGUCGGUGGCGCAUGCAAGGGGUGGUCAGAUCAACUCUGGAUCUGCGCGGGGGUUUUUAAAAAAAAGGGAGAAGUGUGAGAGAAAGAGUUAAGGGGUGUGUGUGGUUUCAGGAGCCAAAACUUGUAAGUAACAUAGGUGGUGUAGGAAUCUUUUCAUAAAUGGUUUCAAGUGACAGACAAGUGCUUUUUAGAUUCUGCUCUUCUUCAUAUUUUUGCGAAAAUCAUCAAAAUAAAAUUAAAAAUAAUUUUAAAAUAUUUUUUUUUCGAAUUUGAAAAUAUAGAACUUAAAUAUUUACCUAGGGGUUCACUAAUCGAUAGGAGGAUUUGGGUUUAGUUUUGAAGAGUGGGGAGAUUUGAUUUGGAAGUUUGGGUUUUGAUAAAAAAAAUGAAUUAUAAAAAAUGGGUAUAAGAGAUCAAAUGAGCCCAUAGGAGAUUAUCUCUAUAGAAAUAGGGACAUGAGAGGAGUUAACUGUCUUCUUUUUCACUUUUGAACACUUUUUUAUUAUUAUUAAUGGUGGGCAAAUGCAAUCAACACAUUUUCAGGAUCUUAGGGCAUCUGUAUUGGGGGUCCCUUAAGGCAUCCCUUAGGGGAAGGGGGUGGGAACCGAGGAAGAAAGAGAAGGGAAAAGCCCUUAAUUAAGGGCUGUCCCUUACUCUUUAAUGACCAAAAAAAAAAAAAAAAAAAACAAANNNNNNNNNNNNNNNUAAAAAAAAAAAAAAAAAAAAAAAAAAAAAGCAAAACAAGGGACUCUCUCCCUCUCUCUCUUCAUCCCACCAAUAAAGAUGCCCUUAUUAGAAUUGACUUUCUCGUUUUUUUUAUACACAAUUUCUUUUUCUUUUUUGUUCUGGUAAAAAAUGACUAAGCGCAGUUGAUGAGCGGCGUGUAAUCAACGACUUCACGGUACUAGUGAUGUACUUCGCUCACUAAAGCCAAUGUUUGCUGGAUCCAGUGAGUUUAAUGUUUGCAUUUUUUUUUGUUAGAAUUGCAUUUUCUUAUUUUGUUAAAUGAUAUUUGCAUAUGUAUUCUCAAUAUUAGCAAAGAAUGCAACUGUCAAGAUAGUGCACCAACUACUUCAAAGUGUGAUAUGUUUACAUAUUUUCUAACCUCGAAUAAACGAACAAACUCAUAUAUAACUCAUUACAUGAGAGUAUCAGGUGAAACAAACUAAUACAACUAUACAAGUGAUCCAGUUUAUAAAACUGCAACAUCUUGAUUUAAAAAAAAAAACUCGAAGUCAUCGUCGAGUAUCGGGAAAAAUGACAAAAGAGAAACACAAGCUAGAUUCUUCUUAACCCAAAUUUUUCAAAAGAAAAGAUUCCUUUUUUUGUUAUGGUAGAAAAAAAAAGUAAAUUAAAUAACUUGGGUUUACGAAUUAUGGGAAGAGGAGGAAGACGUGGAGGUGUAAGUGUAACUGUACGGUGCAAAAGAUUUGUUUCUUUUCUUCCUCUUCUCCAAAAAACUCUUCACGGAUCUCUUCAAAGAAAACACUAACGGUGAUUCCAGUCUCGUCGGCGUUAACUCUAACGCCGUUAUUCCACGCUCCUUGCUCGCCAUCUCUAUUAUUGCCCUUAUCUUCGUAUUUCAUUUUUGCAUUUUAUGAUCAGUCAUUAAUCAAGAAAAAGAGAGGACAACAUAUAUACAAGAGAAAAUAGAGAUGAUUCUACCUGAAACUCUACGAGAUCGUGUUCACGUACUUUCCCAUUAUAGAAUGCAUUGAUCUCCUUAGGUCUUAUGGUUAAAGAGUGAUUAACCCUAUACAGCCAUUUUUCAAAACGAAUUAAGAGGUUCAGAUCUUAAAGUGGAGUUGAACGUGAAUUAAAAUUAAAUUAAAACGAGGUUGGAUCUGGAUAAGAAAAACUCACGUCGAAUCUAGGCGACGAGGUUGAAGCGAAGAGGUCACUGGAGAUAGCCCAAGAUCUAAGCUACAAUACUUCAUGAUUCUCUCUGCGUAAAGAUUCUUGCUUUGGUCGCUUUGUGGAAGUUAAGAGGUAGAAACACUUGCAUAGAAACUAUAUAUAAGAAGAACGUACUAUAAGAGUUCUGAACAUUUGAUCACGUGCUUCUUGCUUUCAAUACGAAGGAAAAUAACAUUUUUUUAAAGAAAAAGAAGAAAAAAAAAUCCGUACGAAUACAUAUAUAAAUCAAAGUGUCUGAGGAAGAAUCUUGAGUAACUUGAUGGUCCGUGGUGUGUUUGAGUUUUGCUUUUCCUUAAAUUUUUAUACGUUACUGGAUGUGGACCUGCUGUAUGCAUUUUCUUGUAGAAUAUAAUAAAGUAAAUUAUAAUUGGGUUGGACCUUACGUAAUUCUGUGUAUAUUAUAUGAAUUGAAAAUUUAAUUUGUUAGAUUGUUAGGUUGUUAAAUCAAUGUAUCUAUGUGUUUUGUUUUCUUUUAAUUUAUAUGAUUAGACAGUUCUCUAUAUUAUUAUGCAUAACCCAUACACGUCAGUGUUGUGUUAUUAAAUUAAAAUUAUGCGUUUGAAACUAUCCAAAACAAUAGAGGUUUCUUUAAAAAAAACUAUCCAAAUAUAUCAAAGAUAAACUUAGGAACUCAACUUUUAUUUAGAUUUCUGAAAAGAUCAAUGGACACAUGCAAUGUUUGUGCCAUGUGGGGCUUGGAAUCGUUUGGUUAAUAUACUUUCCAUAAAUAGAAAAUGGAUUCCCAAAUGAGGCUGAUGAGUUC
This 56496-nucleotide long non-coding RNA is filed under the name Brassica napus (rape). RNAcentral describes it as "long non-coding RNA (BNAP_LNC002714)". The record is from RNAcentral. Lineage: Eukaryota; Viridiplantae; Streptophyta; Magnoliopsida; Brassicales; Brassicaceae.